Non-coding RNA from Xyrichtys novacula (pearly razorfish), 51089 nucleotides. Lineage: Eukaryota; Metazoa; Chordata; Actinopteri; Labriformes; Labridae. The record is from the annotation of a GenBank genome assembly.
CUUCUGAGGAGAACAUGAGCAGUGAAGAUUCACCUUGGAGCUAGAACAGAGACAUGCACAUGAUUAUACAGGGGCAGGGGCUCAAGUUUUUUCCAGUCGUUUAUACAAUAUGGAAAUUAAUGUGAAAUUAAAACACAAAGUAUUAAUAGAAAGGUAAUGACUGUCCUGUGUAGGUGACAGUGAUAUCCAAUAGGCUAGGCACUCACGAGGCUGGCUGUGGCAAGUGUAAGUGAAAGCAACACGCACUGGCAGGAAGAACAGCAAACGCCGAUGAAGGAAAAGGGUCUUUGCAGUGAUGGGCGUUAACAGAGAGGGCGAUGGCCAGAGGACACAAAUGGGACGGGGAGGCAGCGCGUUGGGGGGGAGACGCGACACGGCUCGGGCCCGCCAGUGCCCCAACGGGGUCCUAGUUAGGGCCCGAGCGUAGCUGCUAAGCAGCUGCGAGAGCCCUCUUGUUCCUGUAGUUUCCUUCUUUUGUUAUUAUUAUUAGGGCCCGAGCCAGCUGCAGAGCAGCCGGGCGUAGGCCCUAUUAUUCCCCAAGUGGUUUUUCUUUGUUUCUUUCUUUCUUUCUUUCUUUCUUUCUUUCUUUCUUCUUUUUCCUCCCCUUUGAACUGGAAAAUGGCCCACUUCCCACUGGCGAAAACUCAUGAAAUUUGGCAGGACGACCGGGCCUGGUGAAAAAUUCGAUAUUCUGAAGUCGCCCAAACAAUAAAAUGCAAAAUGGCUCCAUAGCGCCCCCUAAGGUGGAAAUUCACACUAUUGACUGUCACGCCUGUACGCUUUGUCAUAUUGACACAAAAAUUGACACACAUAUGUAUCUCAAUAAGAUCUACAAAAAAGUCAGUGCGGCCGUAUCUGUCAAAUGUACGGUCAAAGGGUUAUUUCGCAUUUUUUGCCGAUCCGCACACAUUGGAAUUUCGCUAACUCCUCCGAAGGCUUUCGUUCCACCGGCACCACAUUUGCUCAGGCCAAUCUACACCCCGUGGCCAUUAAAAGUUAUCAAAAUCAUGACGCUGCACCCCAAGGUUUAGGUUCUAGGGGGCGCCAAAGAUAACACUAAAAUCCACAUAUUUAAAAGUCUUAUAACUUUUUAUUUUUGUCCUCACUAGCCUCCAAGUUUUCUAGGAUGAUGCAAUGUCCAGCCAUCAACACAUUUGUGAAGGAAUUUUUACUCCCCAAAAGAGCGCCCCCCCCAUGGCAGGAGAAAAAAGUCCAUUUUUUCUUGUCCCCUAAGGUGAAAAUACACAUUCUUGAGUGUCACGCCUAUACGCUUUGUCAAAAUGACACAAAAAUUGACACACACAUGUAACUCAAUAAGAUCUACAAAAAAGUCCAUGCGCGCGUAUCUGUCAAAUGUACAGUUAAAGGGUUAUUCCGCAUUUUUUACCGAUACGCACACAUUGGAAUUUCGCUAACUCCUCCGAAGGCUUUCGUUCCACCGGCACCACAUUUGCUCAGGCCAAUCUACACCCCAUGGCCAUUAAAAGUUAUUCAAAUCAUGAUGCUGCACCCCAUGGUUUAGGUUCUAGGGGGCGCCAAAAAUAACCCAAAAAUCCACAUUCUUAAAUGUUUUAUAACUUUUUAUUUUUGUCCUCACUGGCCUCCAAGUUCUCUAGGAUGAUGCAAUGUCCAGCCAUCAACACAUUUGUGAAGGAAUUUUUACUCCCCAAAAGAGCGCCCCCCCAUGGUAGGAGAAAAAAGUCCAUUUUUUCUUGUCCCCUUACAUGAAAAUACACAUUGUUGAGUGUCACGCCUGAACGCUUUGUCAUAUUGACACAAAAAUUGACAAUCAUGUGUAUCUCAAUUAGAUCUACGAAAAAGUCAAAGAGCGCGUAUCUUUAUAAUGUACGGUUAAAGGGCUAUUUUGCAUUUUUUGCCGAUUCGCACACAUUGGAAUGUGGCUAUCUCCUCCUAAGGCUUUCGUCCCACCGAUACCAAAUUUGCUCAGGGCAAUCUACACCCCAUGCCCAUUCAAAGUUGUAAAAAUCAUGACGCUGCACCCCACGGUUUACGUUCUAGGGGGCGCCAAAGAUGACCCAAAAAUCCACAUUCUUAAAAGUCAUUUUGGCCACUGCAGGAGUACAGAGUACUGCAGUUCUAGGGGGCGCCAAAGAUGACCCAAAAAUCCACAUUCUUAAAAGGUUUUUUUGGCCACUGCAGGAGUACAGAGUACUGCAGGAUACACACACAUAUACACACACGCCAACAUACACACACACACAGACACACACACACACAGACACACACACACACUCAGAGUCUGUUUUUUAGCACCUGCAAAAACAUGCUGUUUACAUAUUUGACAAGAAUGCAGAGGCUUCCUUUUGCCCCUGAAAAAAAUCAAAUUUCAAACACAACUUGACUGUUCAUUUCUCCAAAAGACAACCAUGAAGCUCCAUUUCAAACCUGAAGCAGAUAGUUGGUGCAUGUGUACAGUAACCUGAGGGGAGUGAGGUGACUAUUUCUGAGGAGAACAUGAGCAGUGAAGAUUCACCUUGGAGCUAGAACAGGGACGUGCACAUGAUUAUACAGGGGCAGGGGCUCAAGUUUUUUCCAGUCAUUUAUACAAUAUGGAAAUUAAUGUGAAAUUAAACCACAAAUAUGUGUGAUGAACUGUUUUUAAAACUUAAACUUCAAAUAAAAAUUGUAAACUUCAAAACAUAUGCAAAUUUUUAACAAAGAACAUAGUAAUUUACCUCUAUUUACAUCAAAAUGCAGGCAAUGGCCCAGGCGUUCUUUGCAAAAUUAUUUACAAAACACUGUAUAGUCUCACAAAUGUCACUUUUUAUUUAUGCCACUACAAAAAAACAUGAUGUAAAUGAUGCAUGAUGUAAAACAUGAUGUAAAAAACUUGUGUAGAUCCUCCUCUAUGUCAGUCCAUGUGUAAUUUUUCCAUAAUUCUUUGUUUUUUGCAGCAUUUUUGUUAGUGUAACUGCAGAUUGUGCUGACAGUGUCUAUGGCACAAAAAAAAAAAAAAAUUAAAAUGCCUCAACAUGAACCCCUGGUGGUCUCUGAGGGUGAAACCUGCUAACUGCUGCAGCUCUGUCAGCUUCAGUCUCCCAUGCAGAGCUCUGAGCGCAUGUGUGGCUCUGCACCCUUAGCAGCGUUGCUAACUCCUCAGUAAGGAAAGCCUGCUUCAUGUCAGAGUCUCUAAACUCCAGAAGAAGUCGAUAAAAGUCCCUUUCUUUCUAAAAAAAAAAGUCGUUAGGGGGUCUGAAAAGUCAUUGAAUCUAACAACAAAGUCGCUAGGUUUGCAACUACGUGUCCCAGACUGCAUCCCUGCUGAGAGUCCCUCCCUCCCUUCUCAUGUUGCAGGAAGAACGUAAGCGCCCUCCCCUUGUCAAUCAGUCACCAUAUAAUUUUGGAUUGGUUGUUGUGGUGAAGUUUUCCACCAAUAGGAGAGAUGUUGUGGUGUGUUUUUUUUUUCUUUUGGCAAGCCUUUUCCGCCUGUAAGACCUGUCGCUAAUGUGUGCAUGCUAUGUUUUCCUGUCUCAUACAGCGCGAUCGAGCGCCGAACGUGAUCAAAAUAAGCAGAAAAAAAGUAUCGCGGACAUAAUUUAUCAUAACUCUGGUUUUAUUUGGCCUAUCAACACAAUUUAAAAACUGGUAUAUAGGUUGAGGUCCUCACUUUUGAGAUAAGUUGAAACGGAGAGUCAACGAGGCUCCGUCUUGCAGCUACAUCCGGUUAAAUAUGUCAUGUGACUUGAACGCACACACAGACACACACACACGCACACACACACACACACACACACACACACACACACACACACACACACACACACACACUCAGAGUCUGGUUUUUAGCACCUGCAAAAACAUGCUAUUUACAUAUUUGACAAGAAUGCAGAGGCUCCUUUUGCCCCUGAAAAAAAAAUCAAAUUUCAAACACAACUUGACUGGUCAUUUCUCCAAAAGACAACCAUGAAGCUCCAUCCAAAGCUCCAUCCGACAAGGCUCGGGCCCGCCAGUGCCCCAACGGGGUCCUAGUUAUUUUUCCUCCCCUUUGAACUGGAAAAUGGCCCACUUCCCACUGGCGAAAACUCAUGAAAUUUGGCAGGACGACCGGGCCUGGUGAAAAAUUUGAUAUUCCGAAGUCGCCCAAACAAGAAAAUGCAAAAUGGCUCCAUAGCGCCCCCUAAGGUGAAAAUUCACACUAUUCACUGUCACGCCGGUACGCUUUGUCCAAAUGACACAAAAAUUGACACACACAUGUAUCUCAAUAAGAUCUACAAAAAAGUCAGUGCGGGCGUAUCUGUCAAAUGUACGGUUAAAGGGUUAUUUCGCAUUUUUUGCCGAUCCGCACACAUUGGAAUUUCGCUAACUCCUCCGAAGGCUUUCGUUCCACCGGCACCACAUUUGCUCAGGCCAAUCUACACCCCAUGGCCAUUAAAAGUUAUUCAAAUCAUGACGCUGCACCCCACGGUUUAGGUUCUAGGGGGCGCCAAAGAUAACCCUAAGAUCCACAUAUUUAAAAGUCUUAUAACUUUUUAUUUUUGCCCUCACUGGCCUCCAAGUUUUCUAGGAUGAUGCAAUGUCCAGCCAUCAACACAUUUGUGAAGGAAUUUUUACUCCCCAAAAGAGCGCCCCCCCAUGGCAGGAGAAAAAAGUCCAUUUUUUCUUGUCCCCUAAGGUGAAAAUACACAUUGUUGAGUGUAACACCUGUACGCUUUGGCAAAAUGACACAAAAAUUGACACACACAUGUAUCUCAAUAAGAUCUACAAAAAAGUCAAUGCGCGCGUAUCUGUCAAAUGUACGGUUAAAGGGUUAUUCCGCAUUUUUUGCCGAUCCGCACACAUUGGAAUUUCGCUAACUCCUCCGAAGGCUUUUCGUUCCACCGGCACCACAUUUGCUCAGGCCAAUCUACACCCCAUGGCCAUUAAAAGUUAUUCAAAUCAUGACGCUGCACCCCACGGUUUAGGUUCUAGGGGGCGCCAAAGAUAACCCUAAGAUCCACAUAUUUAAAAGUCUUAUAACUUUUUAUUUUUGCCCUCACUGGCCUCCAAGUUUUCUAGGAUGAUGCAAUGUCCAGCCAUCAACACAUUUGUGAAGGAAUUUUUACUCCCCAAAAGAGCGCCCCCCAUGGCAGGAGAAAAAAGUCCAUUUUUUCUUGUCCCCUAAGGUGAAAAUACACAUUGUUGAGUGUAACACCUGUACGCUUUGGCAAAAUGACACAAAAAUUGACACACACAUGUAUCUCAAUAAGAUCUACGAAAAAGUCAAUGCGCGCGUAUCUGUCAAAUGUACGGUUAAAGGGUUAUUCCGCAUUUUUUGCCGAUCCGCACACAUUGGAAUUUCGCUAACUCCUCCGAAGGCUUUCGUUCCACCGGCACCACAUUUGCUCAGGCCAAUCUACACCCCAUGGCCAUUAAAAGUUAUUCAAAUCAUGACGCUGCACCCCACGGUUUAGGUUCUAGGGGGAGCCAAAGAUAACCGUAAAAUCCACAUAUUUAAAAGUCUUAUAACUUUUUAUUUUUGUCCCCACUGGCCUCCAAGUUUUCUAGGAUGAUGCAAUGUCCAGCCAUCAACACAUUUGUGAAGGAAUUUUUACUCGGCAAAAGAGCGCCCCCCCAUGGCAGGAGAAAAAAGUCCAUUUUUUCUUGUCCACUAAGGUGAAAAUACACAUUGUUGAGUGCUACGCCUGUAUGUUUUGUCGUAUUGACACAAAAUUUUACAUACACGUGUAUUUCAAUAAGAUCUUCGAAAAAGUCAAUGGCCACGUAUCUGUAAAAUGUACGGUUAAAGGGUUAUUUCGCAUUUUUUGCAGAUUCGCACACAUUGGAAUUUCGCUAAUUUCUCCGAAGGCUUUCGUUCCACCGGCACCACAUUUGCUCAGGCCAAUCUACACCCCAUGGCCAUUAAAAGUUAUUCAAAUCAUGACGCUGCACCCCACGGUUUAGGUUCUAAGGGGCGCCAAAGAUAACCCUAAAAUCCACAUAUUUAAAAGUCUUAUAAAUUUUUAUUUUUGUCCUCACUGGCCUCCAUGUUUUCUAGGAUGAUGCAAUGUCCAGCCAUCAACACAUUUGUGAAGGAGUUUUUUCUCUUUAAAAGAGCGCCCCCCAUGGCAGGAGAAUAAAGUCAAGUUUUUCCUGUUCAUCAUUCAAUGGCUCAAACGCACUGCUCUCUCGGCAAAAGCGAAAGGAGGAGCAACUUGCCAUUUGGAUAUAUCUUAGCUGUGUUUGUGCCCUCACUCAUGGUCCAGACUUUUUUCAAAUAGGACAUGGAGUUUUUCUGCAGCGAGCGUUUUGGUAGAAACUGCGCCUCCCGUUCAUUAUAAUGGUAAAUGACCACAAACAAGUGCGCACACCAUCUUUGGACCUUGAGUGUGACGCGAUCGGGUGGGGGAGGCGGUCGCGCUGGGGGCGGCGUGACACGGCUCGGGCCCGCCAGUGCCCCAACGGGGCCCUAGUUUCUUCUUUUUCCUCCCCUUUGAACUGGAAAAUGGCCCACUUCCCACUGGCGAAAACUCAUGAAAUUUGGCAGGACGACCGGGCCUGGUGAAAAAUUCGAUAUUCUGAAGUCGCCCAAACAAUAAAAUUCAAAAUGGCUCCAUAGCGCCCCCUAAGGUGGAAAUUCACACUAUUGACUGUCACGCCUGUACGCUUUGUCAUAUUGACACAAAAAUUGACACACAUAUGUAUCUCAAUAAGAUCUACAAAAAAGUCAGUGCGGCCGUAUCUGUCAAAAUUACGGUUAAAGGGUUAUUUCGCAUUUUUUGCCGAUCCGCACACAUUGGAAUUUCGCUAACUCCUCCGAAGGCUUUCGUUCCACCGGCACCACAUUUGCUCAGGCCAAUCUACACCCCGUGGCCAUUAAAAGUUAUCAAAAUCAUGACGCUGCACCCCAAGGUUUAGGUUCUAGGGGGCGCCAAAGAUAACACUAAAAUCCACAUAUUUAAAAGUCUUAUAACUUUUUAUUUUUGUCCUCACUGGCCUCCAAGUUUUCUAGGAUGAUGCAAUGUCCAGCCAUCAACACAUUUGUGAAGGAAUUUUUACUCCCCAAAAGAGCGCCCCCCCAUGGCAGGAGAAAAAAGUCCAUUUUUUCUUGUCCCCUAAGGUGAAAAUACACAUUGUUGAGUGUCACGCCUAUACGCUUUGUCAAAAUGACACAAAAAUUGACACACACAUGUAACUCAAUAAGAUCUACAAAAAAGUCCAAGCGCGCGUAUCUGUCAAAUGUACAGUUAAAGGGUUAUUCCGCAUUUUUUGCCGAUACGCACACAUUGGAAUUUCGCUAACUCCUCCGAAGGCUUUCGUUCCACCGGCACCACAUUUGCUCAGGCCAAUCUACACCCCAUGGCCAUUAAAAGUUAUUCAAAUCAUGAUGCUGCACCCCAUGGUUUAGGUUCUAGGGGGCGCCAAAAAUAACCCAAAAAUCCACAUUCUUAAAUGUUUUAUAACUUUUUAUUUUUGUCCUCACUGGCCUCCAAGUUUUCUAGGAUGAUGCAAUGUCCAGCCAUCAACACAUUUGUGAAGGAAUUUUUACUCCCCAAAAGAGCGCCCCCCCAUGGUAGGAGAAAAAAGUCAAUUUUUUCUUGUCCCCUUACAUAAAAAUACACAUUGUUGAGUGUCACGCCUGAACGCUUUGUCAUAUUGACACAAAAAUUGACAAUCAUGUGUAUCUCAAUUAGAUCUACGAAAAAGUCAAAGAGCGCGUAUCUGUAUAAUGUACGGUUAAAGGGCUAUUUUGCAUUUUUUGCCGAUUCGCACACAUUGGAAUGUGGCUAUCUCCUCCUAAUGCUUUCGUCCCACCGAUACCAAAUUUGCUCAGGGCAAUCUACACCCCAUGCCCAUUCAAAGUUGUAAAAAUCAUGACGCUGCACCCCACGGUUUACGUUCUAGGGGGCGCCAAAAAUGACCCAAAAAUCCACAUUCUUAAAAGUCAUUUUGGCCACUGCAGGAGUACAGAGUACUGCAGUUCUAGGGGGCGCCAAAGAUGACCCAAAAAUCCACAUUCUUAAAAGUCUUUUUGGCCACUGCAGGAGUACAGAGUACUGCAGGAUACACACACAUAUACACACACGCCAACAUACACACACACACACACACACACACACACACACACACAGACACACACACACACUCAGAGUCUGUUUUUUAGCACCUGCAAAAACAUGCUGUUUACAUAUUUGACAAGAAUGCAGAGGCUUCCUUUUGCCCCUGAAAAAAAUCAAAUUUCAAACACAACUUGACUGUUCAUUUCUCCAAAAGACAACCAUGAAGCUCCAUUUCAAACCUGAAGCAGAUAGUUGGUGCAUGUGUACAGUAACCUGAGGGGAGUGAGGUGACUAUUUCUGAGGAGAACAUGAGCAGUGAAGAUUCACCUUAGAGCUAGAACAGGGACGUGCACAUGAUUAUACAGGGGCAGGGGCUCAAGUUUUUUCCAGUCAUUUAUACAAUAUGGAAAUUAAUGUGAAAUUAAACCACAAAUAUGUGUGAUGAACUGUUUUUAAAACUUAAACUUCAAAUAAAAAUUGUAAACUUCAAAACAUAUGCAAAUUUUUAACAAAGAACAUAGUAAUUUACCUCUAUUUACAUCCAAAUACAGGCAAUGGCCCAGGCGUUCUUUGUAAAAUUAUUUACAAAACACUGUAUAGUCUCACAAAUGUCACUUUUUAUUUAUGCCACUACAAAAAAACAUGAUGUAAAUGAUGCAUGAUGUAAAACAUGAUGUAAAAAACUUGUGUAGAUCCUCCUCUAUGUCAGUCCAUGUGUAAUUUUUCCAUAAUUCUUUGUUUUUUGCAGCAUUUUUGUUAGUGUAACUGCAGAUUGUGCUGACAGUGUCUAUGGCACAAAAAAAAAAAAAAAUUAAAAUGCCUCAACAUGAACCCCUGGUGGUCUCUGAGGGUGAAACCUGCUAACUGCUGCAGCUCUGUCAGCUUCAGUCUCCCAUGCAGAGCUCUGAGCGCAUGUGUGGCUCUGCACCCUUAGCCGCGUUGCUAACUCCUCAGUAAGGAAAGCCUGCUUCAUGUCAGAGUCUCUAAACUCCAGAAGAAGUCGAUAAAAGUCCCUUUCUUUCUAAAAAAAAGUCGUUAGGGUGUCUGAAAAGUCAUUGAAUCUAACAACAAAGUCGCUAGGUUUGCAACUACGUGUCCCAGACUGCAUCCCUGCUGAGAGUCCCUCCCUCCCUUCUCAUGUUGCAGGAAGAACGUAAGCGCCCGCCCCUUGUCAAUCAGUCACCAUAUAAUUUUGGAUUGGUUGUUGUGGUGAAGUUUUCCACCAAUAGGAGAGAUGUUGUGGUGUGUAUUUUUUUCCUUUGGCAAGCCUUUUCCGCCUGUAAGACCUGUCGCUAAUGUCUGCAUGCUAUGUUUUCCUGUCUCAUACAGCGCGAUCGAGCGCCGAACGUGAUCAAAAUAAGCAGAAAAAAAGUAUCGCGGACAUAAUUUAUCAUAACUCUGGUUUUAUUUGGCCUAUCAACACAAUUUAAAAACUGGUAUAUAGGUUGAGGUCCUCACUUUUGAGAUAAGUUGAAAUGGAGAGUCAACGAGGCUCCGUCUUGCAGCUACAUCCGGUUAAAUAUGUCAUGUGACUUGAACGCACACAUAGACACACACACACGCACACACACGCACACACACACACACACACACACACACACACACACACACACACUCAGAGUCUGGUUUUUAGCACCUGCAAAAACAUGCUAUUUACAUAUUUGACAAGAAUGCAGAGGCUCCUUUUGCCCCUGAAAAAAAUCAAAUUUCAAACACAACUUGACUGGUCAUUUCUCCAAAAGACAACCAUGAAGCUCCAUCCAAACCUGAAGCAGGCAGUUGGUGCAUGUGUACAGUAACCUGAGGGGAGUGAGGUGAGUGCUUCUGAGGAGAACAUGAGCAGUGAAGAUUCACCUUGGAGCUAGAACAGAGACAUGCACAUGAUUAUACAGGGGCAGGGGCUCAAGUUUUUUCCAGUCGUUUAUACAAUAUGGAAAUUAAUGUGAAAUUAAAACACAAAGUAUUAAUAGAAAGGUAAUGACUGUCCUGUGUAGGUGACAGUGAUAUCCAAUAGGCUAGGCACUCACGAGGCUGGCUGUGGCAAGUGUAAGUGAAAGCAACACGCACUGGCAGGAAGAACAGCAAACGCCGAUGAAGGAAAAGGGUCUUUGCAGUGAUGGGCACAAAUGGGACGGGGAGGCAGCAUGUUGGGGGGGGGGGGGAGACGCGACACGGCUCGGGCCCGCCAGUGCCCCAACGGGGUCCUAGUUAGGGCCCGAGCCAGCUGCAGAGCAGCCGGGCGUAGAGCCCUAUUAUUCCUGAUGAGUUUUUCUUUCUUCUUUCUUUCUUUCUUUCUUUCUUUAGGGCCCGAGCGUAGCUGCUAAGCAGCUGCGAGAGCCCUCUUGUUCCUGCAUGUUUCCUUCUUUCGUUAUUAUUUUUCCUCCGCUUUAAACUGGAAAAUGGCCCACUUCCCACUGGCGAAAACUCAGGAAAUUUGGCAGGACGACCGGGCCUGGUGAAAAAUUCGAUAUUCUGAAGUCGCCCAAACAAGAAAAUGCAAAAUGGCUCCAUAGCGCCCCCUAAGGUGAAAAUUCACAUGACAGCUGUACGCUUUGUCAUAUUGACACAACAAUUGACACACACAUGUAUCUCAAUAAGAUCUACAAAAAAGUCAGUGCGGGCGUAUCUGUCAAAUGUACGGUUAAUGGGUUUUUUUGCAUUUUUUGCAGAUCUGCACACAUUGGAAUUUCGCUAACUCCUCCGAAGGCUUUCGUUCGACCGGCACCACAUUUGCGCAGGCCAAUCUACCCCCCAUGGCCAUUAAAAGUUGUACAAAUCAUGACGCUGCACCCCACGGUUUACGUUCUAGGGGGCGCCAAAGAUAACCCAAAAUCCACAUUCUUAAAAGUCUUAUAACUUUUUAUUUUUGUCCUCACUGCCCUCCAAGUUUUCUAGGAUGAUGCAAUGUCCAGCCAUCAACACAUUUGUGAAGGAAUUUUUACUCCCCAAAAGAGCGCCCCCCCAUGGCAGGAGAAAAAAGUCAAUUUUUUCUUGUCCCCUUACAUGAAAAUACACAUUGUUGAGUGUCACGCCUGAACGCUUUGUCAUAUUGACACAAAAAUUGACAAUCAUGUGUAUCUCAAUUAGAUCUACGAAAAAGUCAAAAAGCGCGUGUCUGUAUAAUGUACGGUUAAAGGGCUAUUUCGCAUUUUUUGCCGAUUCGCACACAUUGGAAUGUGGCUAUCUCCUCCUAAGGCUUUCGUCCCACCGAUACCAAAUUUGCUCAGGGCAAUCUACACCCCAUGCCCAUUCAAAGUUGUAAAAAUCAUGACGCUGCACCCCACGGUUUACGUUCUAGGGGGCGCCAAAGAUGACCCAAAAAUCCACAUUCUUAAAAGUCAUUUUGGCCACUGCAGGAGUACAGAGUACUGCAGUUCUAGGGGGCGCCAAAGAUGACCCAAAAAUCCACAUUCUUAAAAGUCUUUUUGGCCACUGCAGGAGUACAGAGUACUGCAGGAACACACACACACACACACACACACACACACACACACACACACACACACACACACACACACACACACACACUCAGAGUCUGUUUUUUAGCACCUGCAAAAACAUGCUGUUUACAUAUUUGACAAGAAUGCAGAGGCUUCCUUUUGCCCCUGAAAAAAAUCAGAUUUCAAACACAACUUGACUGUUCAUUUCUCCAAAAGACAACCAUGAAGCUCCAUCCAAACCUGAAGCAGAUAGUUGGUGCAUGUGUACAGUAACCUGAGGGGAGUGAGGUGACUAUUUCUGAGGAGAACAUGAGCAGUGAAGAUUCACCUUGGAGCUAGAACAGGGACGUGCACAUGAUUAUACAGGGGCAGGGGCUCAAGUUUUUUCCAGUCAUUUAUACAAUAUGGAAAUUAAUGUGAAAUUAAACCACAAAUAUGUGUGAUGAACUGUUUUUAAAACUUAAACUUCAAAUAAAAAUUGUAAACUUCAAAACAUAUGCAAAUUUUUAACAAAGAACAUAGUAAUUUACCUCUAUUUACAUCAAAAUGCAGGCAAUGGCCCAGGCGUUCUUUGUAAAAUUAUUUACAAAACACUGUAUAGUCUCACAAAUGUCACUUUUUAUGUAUGCCACUACAAAAAAACAUGAUGUAAAUGAUGCAUGAUGUAAAACAUGAUGUAAAAAACUUGUGUAGAUCCUCCUCUAUGUCAGUCCAUGUGUAAUUUUUCCAUAAUUCUUUGUUUUUUGCAGCAUUUUUGUUAGUGUAACUGCAGAUUGUGCUGACAGUCUAUGGCAAAAAAAACAAAAACUGAAAAUGCCUCAGCAUGAACCCCUGGUGGUCUCUGAGGGUGAAACCUGCUAACUGCUGCAGCUCUGUCAGCUUCAGUCUCCCAUGCAGAGCUCGGAGCGCAUGUGUGGCUCUGCACCCUUAGCAGCGUUGCUAACUCCUCAGUAAGGAAAGCCUGCUUCAUGUCAGAGUCUCUAAACUCCAGAAGAAGUCGAUAAAAGUCCCUUUCUUUCUAAAAAAAAGUCGUUAGGGGGUCUGAAAAGUAAUUGAAUCUAACAACAAAGUCGCUAGGUUUGCAACUACGUGUCCCAGACUGCAUCCCUGCUGAGAGUCCCUCCCUCCCUUCUCAUGUUGCAGGAAGAACGUAAGCGCCCGCCCCUUGUCAAUCAGUCACCAUAUAAUUUUGGAUUGGUUGUUGUGGUGAAGUUUUCCACCAAUAGGAGAGAUGUUGUGGUGUGUUUUUUUUUUCUUUUGGCAAGCCUUUUCCGCCUGUAAGACCUGUCACUAAUGUGUGCAUGCUAUGUUUUCCUGUCUCAUACAGCGCGAUCGAGCGCCGAACGUGAUCAAAACAAGCAGAAAGGUUUAGGUUCUAGGGGGCGCCAAAGAUAACCCUAAAAUCCACAUAUUUAAAAGUCUUAUAACUUUUUAUUUUUGCCCUCACUGGCCUCCAAGUUUUCUAGGAUGAUGCGAUGUCCAGCCAUCAACACAUUUGUGAAGGAAUUUUUACUCCCCAAAAGAGCGCCCCCCCAUGGCAGGAGAAAAAAGUCAAUUUUUUCUUGUCCCAUAAGGUGAAAAUACACAUUGUUUAGUGUCACGCCUGUACGCUUUGGCAAAAUGACACAAAAAUUGACACACACAUGUAUCUCAAUAAGAUCUACGAAAAAGUCAAUGCGCGCGUAUCUGUCAAAUGUACGGUUAAAGGGUUAUUGCGCAUUUUUUGCCGAUCCGCACACAUUGGAAUUUCGCUAACUCCUCCGAAGGCUUUCGUUCCACCGGCACCACAUUUGCUCAGGCCAAUCUACACCCCAUGGCCAUUAAAAGUUAUUCAAAUCAUGACGCUGCACCCCACGGUUUAGGUUCUAGGGGGCGCCAAAGAUAACCCUAAAAUCCACAUAUUUAAAAGUCUUAUAACUUUUUAUUUUUGUCCUCUCUGGCCUCCAAGUUUUCUAGGAUGAUGCAAUGUCCAGCCAUCAACACAUUUGUGAAGGAAUUUUUACUCCCCAAAAGAGCGCCCCCCCAUGGCAGGAGAAAAAAGUCCAUUUUUUCUUGUCCCAUAAGGUGAAAAUACACAUUGUUGACUGUCAUACCUGUAUGCUUUGUCAUAUUGACACAAAAUUUGACACACACAUGUAUCUCAAUAAGAUCUACGAAAAAGUCAAUGCGCGCGUAUCUGUAAAAUGUACGGUUAAAGGGCUAUUUUGCAUUUUUUGCCGAUUAGCACACAUUGGAAUGUGGCUAACUCCUCCUAAGGCUUUCGUCCCACUGACACCAAAUUUGCUCAGGCCAAUCUACACCCCAUGGCCAUUCAAAGUUGUAAAAAUCAUGACGCUGCACCCCACGGUUUACGUUCUAGGGGGCGCCAAAGAUGACCCAAAUAUCCACAUUCUUAAAAGAAUCCCCCCCCCCCAUCCCCCAUCCCCCAUGGCAGGAGAAACAGUCAAGUUUUUCCUGCCCAUCACUCAAUGGCUCAAUCGCAUCGCUCUCCCGGCAACACCGUAACGAGGAGCAACUUGCCGUUUGGAUAUAUCCUAGCUGUGUUUGUGCCCUCACUCAUGGUCCAGACUUUUUUCAAAUAGGACAUGUAGUUUGUCUGCAGCGAGUGUUUUGGUAGAAACUGCGCCUCCUAUUCAUUAUAAUGGGAAAUGACCACAGACAAGUGCGCACACCAUCUUUGGACCUUGAGUGUGACGCGAUCGGGAGGGGGAGGUGGUCGCACUGGGGGCGGCGCAACGAGGCUCGGGCCCGCCAGUGCCCCAACGGGGCCCUAGUUUCUUCUUCUUCUUAUUAGGGCCCGAGCCAGCUGCAGAGCAGCCGGGCGUAGGCCCUAUUAUUCCCCAAGUGGUUUUUCUUUGUUUCUUUCUUUCUUUCUUUCUUUAGGGCCCGAGCGUAGCUGCUAAGCAGCUGCGAGAGCCCUCUUGUUCCUGUAGUUUCCUUCUUUUGUUAUUAUUAGGGCCCGAGCGUAGCUGCUAAGCAGCUGCGAGAGCCCUAUUAUUCCCCAAGUGGUUUUUCUUUGUUUCUUUUUUCUUUUUCCUCCCCUUUGAACUGGAAAAUGGCCCACUUCCCACUGGCGAAAACUCAUGAAAUUUGGCAGGACGACCGGGCCUGGUGAAAAAUUUGAUAUUCCGAAGUCGCCCAAACAAUAAAAUGCAAAAUGGCUCCAUAGCGCCCCCUAAGGUGAAAAUUCACAUGACGGCUGUACGCUUUGUCAUAUUGACACAAAAAUUGACACACACAUGUAUCUCAAUAAGAUCUACAAAAAAGUCAGUGCGGGCGUAUCUGUCAAAUGUACGGUUAAUGGGUUAUUUUGCAUUUUUUGCAGAUCUGCACACAUUGGAAUUUCGCUAACUCCUCCGAAGGCUUUCGUUCCACCGGCACCACAUUUGCUCAGGCCAAUCUACACCCCAUGGCCAUUAAAAGUUAUUCAAAUCAUGACGCUGCACCCCACGGUUUAGGUUCUAGGGGGCGCCAAAAAUAACCCUAAAAUCCACAUAUUUAAAAGUCUUAUAACUUUUUAUUUUUGUCCUCACUGGCCUCCAAGUUUUCUAGGAUGAUGCAAUGUCCAGCCAUCAACACAUCUGUGAAGGAAUUUUUACUCCCCAAAAGAGCGCCCCCCCAUGGCAGGAGAAAAAAGUCCAUUUUUUCUUGACCCCUAAGGUGAAAAUACACAUUGUUGAGUGUCACACCUUUACGCUUUGGCAAAAUGACACAAAAAUUGACACACACAUGUAUCUCAAUAAGAUCUACAAAAAAGUCUAUGAGCGCGUAUCUGUCAAAUGUACGGUUAAAGGGUUAUUCCGCAUUUUUUGCCGAUCCGCACACAUUGGAAUGUGGCUAACUCCUCCUAAGGCUUUCGUUCCACCGGCAACACAUUUGCUCAGGCCAAUCUACACCCCAUGGCCAUUAAAAGUUAUUCAAAUCAUGACGCUGCACCCCACGGUUUAGGUUCUAGGGGGCGCCAAAGAUAACCCUAAAAUCCACAUAUUUAAAAGUCUUAUAACUUUUUAUUUUUGUCCUCACUGGCCUCCAAGUUUUCUAGGAUGAUGCAAUGUCCAGCCAUCAACACAUUUGUGAAGGAAUUUUUACUCCCCAAAAGAGCGCCCCCCAUGGCAGGAGAAAAAAGUCCAUUUUUUCUUGUCCCCUAAGGUGAAAAUACAUAUUGUUGAGAUUCACGCCUAUACGCUUUGUCAUAUUGACACAAAAUUUGACAAUCACGUGCCUUGCCUGGUAUCAUUUUUUUCAGCACAACCUCACCUGUGCGAAUAUACAGUUAUUUUAUCAUGUUGACAUACUGAAUUUACACAAUGGACCCAAAUUCACACACAAAACAUAAAAUCCGAGUGGAAAAAAGUAACAUUUUUACUGUGAAAACCACAAAUAUGUGUGAUGAACUGUUUUUAAAACUUAAACUUCAAAUAAAAAUUGUAAACUUCAAAACAUAUGCAAAUUUUUAACAAAGAACAUAGUGAUUUACCUCUAUUUACAUCAAAAUGCAGGCAAUGGCCCAGGCGUUCUUUGUAAAAUUAUUUACAAAACACUGUAUAGUCUCACAAAUGUCACUUUUUAUUUAUGCCACUACAAAAAAACAUGAUGUAAAUGAUGCAUGAUGUAAAACAUGAUGUAAAAAACUUGUGUAGAUCCUCCUCUAUGUCAGUCCAUGUGUAAUUUUUCCAUAAUUCUUUGUUUUUUGCAGCAUUUUUGUUAGUGUAACUGCAGAUUGUGCUGACAGUGUCUAUGGCACAAAAAAAAAAAAAAAUUAAAAUGCCUCAACAUGAACCCCUGGUGGUCUCUGAGGGUGAAACCUGCUAACUGCUGCAGCUCUGUCAGCUUCAGUCUCCCAUGCAGAGCUCUGAGCGCAUGUGUGGCUCUGCACCCUUAGCAGCGUUGCUAACUCCUCAGUAAGGAAAGCCUGCUUCAUGUCAGAGUCUCUAAACUCCAGAAGAAGUCGAUAAAAGUCCCUUUCUUUCUAAAAAAAAAAGUCGUUAGGGGGUCUGAAAAGUCAUUGAAUCUAACAACAAAGUCGCUAGGUUUGCAACUACAUGUCCCAGACUGCAUCCCUGCUGAGAGUCCCUCCCUCGCUUCUCAUGUUGCAGGAAGAACGUAAGCACCCGCCCCUUGUCAAUCAGUCACCAUAUAAUUUUGGAUUGGUUGUUGUGGUGAAGUUUUCCACCAAUAGGAGAGAUGUUGUGGUGUGUUUUUUUUUUCUUUUGGCAAGCCUUUUCCGCCUGUAAGACCUGUCGCUAAUGUCUGCAUGCUAUGUUUUCCUGUCUCAUACAGCGCGAUCGAGUGCCGAACGUGAUCAAAAUAAGCAGAAAAAAAGUAUCACGGACAUAAUUUAUCAUAACUCUGGUUUUAUUUGGCCUAUCAACACAAUUUAAAAACUGGUAUAUAGGUUGAGGUCCUCACUUUUGAGAUAAGUUGAAACGGAGAGUCAACGAGGCUCCGUCUUGCAGCUACAUCCGGUUAAAUAUGUCAUGUGACUUGAACGCACACACAGACACACACACACGCACACACACACACACACACACACACACACACACACACACACACUCAGAGUCUGGUUUUUAGCACCUGCAAAAACAUGCUAUUUACAUAUUUGACAAGAAUGCAGAGGCUCCUUUUGCCCCUGAAAAAAAUCAAAUUUCAAACACAACUUGACUGGUCAUUUCUCCAAAAGACAACCAUGAAGCUCCAUCCAAACCUGAAGCAGGCAGUUGGUGCAUGUGUACAGUAACCUGAGGGGAGUGAGGUGAGUGCUUCUGAGGAGAACAUGAGCAGUGAAGAUUCACCUUGGAGCUAGAACAGAGACAUGCACAUGAUUAUACAGGGGCAGGGGCUCAAGUUUUUUCCAGUCGUUUAUACAAUAUGGAAAUUAAUGUGAAAUUAAAACACAAAGUAUUAAUAGAAAGGUAAUGACUGUCCUGUGUAGGUGACAGUGAUAUCCAAUAGGCUAGGCACUCACGAGGCUGGCUGUGGCAAGUGUAAGUGAAAGCAACACGCACUGGCAGGAAGAACAGCAAACGCCGAUGAAGGAAAAGGGUCUUUGCAGUGAUGGGCGUUACCAGAGAGGGCGAUGGCCAGAGGACACAAAUGGGACGGGGAGGCAGCACGUUGGGGGGACGCGACACGGCUCGGGCCCGCCAGUGCCCCAACGGGGUCCUAGUUAUUUUUCCUCCCCUUUGAACUGGAAAAUGGCCCACUUCCCACUGGCGAAAAACUCAUGAAAUUUGGCAGGACGACCGGGCCUGGUGAAAAAUUUGAUAUUCCGAAGUCGCCCAAACAAGAAAAUGCAAAAUGGCUCCAUAGCGCCCCCUAAGGUGAAAAUUCACACUAUUGACUGUCACGCCUGUACGCUUUGUCAAAAUGACACAAAAAUUGACACACACAUGUAUCUCAAUAAGAUCUACAAAAAAGUCAGUGCGGGCGUAUCUGUCAAAUGUACGGUUAAAGGGUUAUUUCGCAUUUUUUGCCGAUCCGCACACAUUGGAAUUUCGCUAACUCCUCCGAAGGCUUUCGUUCCACCGACACCACAUUUGCUCAGGCCAAUCUACACCCCAUGGCCAUUAAAAGUUAUUCAAAUCAUGACGCUGCACCCCACGGUUUAGGUUCUAGGGGGCGCCAAAGAUAACCCUAAGAUCCACAUAUUUAAAAGUCUUAUAACUUUUUAUUUUUGCCCUCACUGGCCUCCAAGUUUUCUAGGAUGAUGCAAUGUCCAGCCAUCAACACAUUUGUGAAGGAAUUUUUACUCCCCAAAAGAGCGCCCCCCCAUGGCAGGAGAAAAAAGUCCAUUUUUUCUUGUCCCCUAAGGUGAAAAUACACAUUGUUGAGUGUAACACCUGUACGCUUUGGCAAAAUGACACAAAAAUUGACACACACAUGUAUCUCAAUAAGAUCUACGAAAAAGUCAAUGCGCGCGUAUCUGUCAAAUGUACGGUUAAAGGGUUAUUCCGCAUUUUUUGCCGAUCCGCACACAUUGGAAUUUCGCUAACUCCUCCGAAGGCUUUCGUUCCACCGGUACCACAUUUGCUCAGGCCAAUCUACACCCCAUGGCCAUUAAAAGUUAUUCAAAUCAUGACGCUGCACCCCACGGUUUAGGUUCUAGGGGGCGCCAAAGAUAACCGUAAAAUCCACAUAUUUAAAAGUCUUAUAACAUUUUAUUUUUGUCCCCACUGGCCUCCAAGUUUUCUAGGAUGAUGCAAUGUCCAGCCAUCAACACAUUUGUGAAGGAAUUUUUACUCCCCAAAAGAGCGCCCCCCCAUGGCAGGAGAAAAAAGUCCAUUUUUUCUUGUCCACUAAGGUGAAAAUACACAUUGUUGAGUGCUACGCCUGUAUGUUUUGUCGUAUUGACACAAAAUUUUACAUACACGUGUAUUUCAAUAAGAUCUUCGAAAAAGUCAAUGGCCACGUAUCUGUAAAAUGUACGGUUAAAGGGUUAUUUUGCAUUUUUUGCAGAUUCGCACACAUUGGAAUUUCGCUAACUCCUCCGAAGGCUUUUGUUCCACCGGCACCACAUUUGCUCAGGCCAAUCUACACCCCAUGGCCAUUAAAAGUUAUUCAAAUCAUGACGCUGCACCCCACGGUUUAGGUUCUAGGGGGCGCCAAAGAUAACCCUAAAAUCCACAUAUUUAAAAGUCUUAUAACUUUUUAUUUUUGUCCUCACUGGCCUCCAUGUUUUCUAGGAUGAUGCAAUGUCCAGCCAUCAACACAUUUGUGAAGGAGUUUUUUCUCGUUAAAAGAGCGCCCCCCCAUGGCAGGAGAAUAAAGUCAAGUUUUUCCUGUUCAUCAUUCAAUGGCUCAAACACACUGCUCUCUCGGCAAAAGCGAAAGGAGGAGCAACUUGCCAUUUGGAUAUAUCUUAGCUGUGUUUGUGCCCUCACUCAUGGUCCAGACUUUUUUCAAAUAGGACAUGGAGUUUUUCUGCAGCGAGCGCUUUGGUAGAAACUGCGCCUCCCGUUCAUUAUAAUGGUAAAUGACCACAAACAAGUGCGCACACCAUCUUUGGACCUUGAGUGUGACGCGAUCGGGUGGGGGAGGCGGUCGCGCUGGGGGCGGCGUGACACGGCUCGGGCCCGCCAGUGCCCCAACGGGGCCCUAGUUUGUUAUUAUUAUUAUUAUUAUUAUUUUUCCUCCCCUUUGAACUGGAAAAUGGCCCACUUCCCACUGGCGAAAACUCAUGAAAUUUGGCAGGACGACCGGGCCUGGUGAAAAAUUUGAUAUUCCGAAGUCGCCCAAACAAGAAAAAGCAAAAUGGCUCCAUAGCGCCCCCUACGGUGAAAAUUCACACUAUUCACUGUCACGCCUGUACGCUUUGUCAAAAUGACACAAAAAUUGACACACACAUGUAUCUCAAUAAGCUCUACAAAAAAGUCAGUGCGGGCGUAUCUGUCAAAUGUACGGUUAAAGGGUUAUUUCGCAUUUUUUGCCGAUCCGCACACAUUGGAAUUUCGCUAACUCCUCCGAAGGCUUUCGUUCCACCGGCACCACAUUUGCUCAGGCCAAUCUACACCCCAUGGCCAUUAAAAGUUAUUCAAAUCAUGACGCUGCACCCCACGGUUUACGUUCUAGGGGGCGCCAAAGAUAACCCAAAAAUCCACAUUUUUAAAAGUCUUAUAACUUUUUAUUUUUGUCCUCACUGGCCUCCAAGUUUUCUAGGAUGAUGCAAUGUCCAGCCAUCAACACAUUUGUGAAGGAAUUUUUACUCCCCAAAAGAGCGCCCCCCCAUGGCAGGAGAAAAAAGUCCAUUUUUUCUUGUCCCCUAAGGUGAAAAUUCACACUAUUGACUGUCACGCCUGUACGCUUUGUCAAAAUGACACAAAAAUUGACACACACAUGUAUCUCAAUAAGAUCUACAAAAAAGUCCAUGCGCGCGUAUCUGUCUAAUGUACGGUUAAAGGGUUAUUUCGCAUUUUUUGCCGAUCCGCACACAUUGGAAUUUCGCUAACUCCUCCGAAGGCUUUCGUUCCACCGGCACCACAUUUGCUCAGGCCAAUCUACACCCCAUGGCCAUUAAAAGUUAUUCAAAUCAUGACGCUGCACCCCACGGUUUACGUUCUAGGGGGCGCCAAAGAUAACCCAAAAAUCCACAUUUUUAAAAGUCUUAUAACUUUUUAUUUUUGUCCUCACUGGCCUCCAAGUUUUCUAGGAUGAUACAAUGUCCAGCCAUCAACACAUUUGUGAAGGAAUUUUUACUCCCCAAAAGAGCGCCCCCCCAUGGCAGGAGAAAAAAGUCCAUUUUUUCUUGUCCCCUAAGGUGAAAAUACACAUUGUUGACUGUCACGCCUGUACGCUUUGGCAAAAUGACACAAAAAUUGACAAUCAUGUGUAUCUCAAUUAGAUCUACGAAAAAGUCAAAGAGCGCGUAUCUGUAUAAUGUACGGUAAAAGGGCUAUUUUGCAUUUUUUGCCGAUUCGCACACAUUGGAAUUUCGCUAACUCCUCCUAAGGCUUUCGUCCCACUGACACCAAAUUUGCUCAGGCCAAUCUACACUCCAUGGCCAUUCAAAGUUGUAAAAAUCAUGACGCUGCACCCCACGGUUUACGUUUUAGGGGGCGCCAAAGAUGACCCAAAAAUCCACAUUCUUAAAAGAAUCCACAUCCCCCCCCCAUCCCCCAUCCCCCAUGGCAGGAGAAACAGUCAAGUUUUUCCUGCCCAUCACUCAAUGGCUCAAUCGCAUCGCUCUCCCGGCAACACCGUAAGGAGGAGCAAUCUGCCAUUUGGAUAUAUCCUAGCUGUGUUUGUGCCCUCACUCAUGGUCCAGACUUUUUUCAAAUAGGACAUGUAGUUUGUCUGCAGCGAGUGUUUUGGUAGAAACUGCGCCUCCCAUUCAUUUUAAUGGGAAAUGACCACAGACAAGUGCGCACACCAUCUUUGGACCUUGAGUGUGACGCGAUCGGGAGGGGGAGGCGGUCGCGCUGGGGGCGGCGCAACGCGGCUCGGGCCCGACAGUGCCCCACCGGGGCCCUAGUUCUUCUUUUUCCUCCCCUUUGAACUGGAAAAUGGCCCACUUCCCACUGGCGAAAACUCAUGAAAUUUGGCAGGACGACCGGGCCUGGUGAAAAAUUCGAUAUUCUGAAGUCGCCCAAACAAUAAAAUGCAAAAUGGCUCCAUAGCGCCCCCUAAGGUGGAAAUUCACACUAUUGACUGUCACGCCUGUACGCUUUGUCAUAUUGACACAAAAAUUGACACACAUAUGUAUCUCAAUAAGAUCUACAAAAAAGUCAGUGCGGCCGUAUCUGUCAAAUGUACGGUUAAAGGGUUAUUUCGCAUUUUUUGCCGAUCCGCACACAUUGGAAUUUCGCUAACUCCUCCGAAGGCUUUCGUUCCACCGGCACCACAUUUGCUCAGGCCAAUCUACACCCCAUGGCCAUUAAAAGUUAUUCAAAUCAUGAUGCUGCACCCCAUGGUUUAGGUUCUAGGGGGCGCCAAAAAUAACCCAAAAAUCCACAUUCUUAAAAGUUUUAUAACUUUUUAUUUUUGUCCUCACUGGCCUCCAAGUUUUCUAGGAUGAUGCAAUGUCCAGCCAUCAACACAUUUGUGAAGGAAUUUUUACUCCCCAAAAGAGCGCCCCCCCAUGGCAGGAGAAAAAAGUCCAUUUUUUCUUGUCCCCUAAGGUGAAAAUACACAUUGUUGAGUGUCACGCCUAUACGCUUUGUCAAAAUGACACAAAAAUUGACACACACAUGUAACUCAAUAAGAUCUACAAAAAAGUCCAUGCGCGCGUAUCUGUCAAAUGUACAGUUAAAGGGUUAUUCCGCAUUUUUUGCCGAUACGCACACAUUGGAAUUUCGCUAACUCCUCCGAAGGCUUUCGUUCCACCGGCACCACAUUUGCUUAGGCCAAUCUACACCCCAUGGCCAUUAAAAGUUAUUCAAAUCAUGAUGCUGCACCCCAUGGUUUAGGUUCUAGGGGGCGCCAAAAAUAACCCAAAAAUCCACAUUCUUAAAAGUUUUAUAACUUUUUAUUUUUGUCCUCACUGGCCUCCAAGUUUUCUAGGAUGAUGCAAUGUCCAGCCAUCAACACAUUUGUGAAGGAAUUUUUACUCCCCAAAAGAGCGCCCCCCCAUGGUAGGAGAAAAAAGUCAAUUUUUUCUUGUCCCCUUACAUAAAAAUACACAUUGUUGAGUGUCACGCCUGAACGCUUUGUCAUAUUGACACAAAAAUUGACAAUCAUGUGUAUCUCAAUUAGAUCUACGAAAAAGUCAAAGAGCGCGUAUCUGUAUAAUGUACGGUUAAAGGGCUAUUUUGCAUUUUUUGCCGAUUCGCACACAUUGGAAUGUGGCUAUCUCCUCCUAAGGCUUUCGUCCCACCGAUACCAAAUUUGCUCAGGGCAAUCUACACCCCAUGCCCAUUCAAAGUUGUAAAAAUCAUGACGCUGCACCCCACGGUUUACGUUCUAGGGGGCGCCAAAGAUGACCCAAAAAUCCACAUUCUUAAAAGUCAUUUUGGCCACUGCAGGAGUACAGAGUACUGCAGUUCUAGGGGGCGCCAAAGAUGACCCAAAAAUCCACAUUCUUAAAAGUCUUUUUGGCCACUGCAGGAGUACAGAGUACUGCAGGAUACACACACAUAUACACACACGCCAACAUACACACACACACACACACACACACACACACACACACACACAGACACACACACACACUCAGAGUCUGUUUUUUAGCACCUGCAAAAACAUGCUGUUUACAUAUUUGACAAGAAUGCAGAGGCUUCCUUUUGCCCCUGAAAAAAAUCAAAUUUCAAACACAACUUGACUGUUCAUUUCUCCAAAAGACAACCAUGAAGCUCCAUUUCAAACCUGAAGCAGAUAGUUGGUGCAUGUGUACAGUAACCUGAGGGGAGUGAGGUGACUAUUUCUGAGGAGAACAUGAGCAGUGAAGAUUCACCUUGGAGCUAGAACAGGGACGUGCACAUGAUUAUACAGGGGCAGGGGCUCAAGUUUUUUCCAGUCAUUUAUACAAUAUGGAAAUUAAUGUGAAAUUAAACCACAAAUAUGUGUGAUGAACUGUUUUUAAAACUUAAACUUCAAAUAAAAAUUGUAAACUUCAAAACAUAUGCAAAUUUUUAACAAAGAACAUAGUGAUUUACCUCUAUUUACAUCAAAAUGCAGGCAAUGGCCCAGGCGUUCUUUGUAAAAUUAUUUACAAAACACUGUAUAGUCUCACAAAUGUCACUUUUUAUUUAUGCCACUACAAAAAAACAUGAUGUAAAUGAUGCAUGAUGUAAAACAUGAUGUAAAAAACUUGUGUAGAUCCUCCUCUAUGUCAGUCCAUGUGUAAUUUUUCCAUAAUUCUUUGUUUUUUGCAGCAUUUUUGUUAGUGUAACUGCAGAUUGUGCUGACAGUGUCUAUGGCACAAAAAAAAAAAAAAUUUAAAAUGCCUCAACAUGAACCCCUGGUGGUCUCUGAGGGUGAAACCUGCUAACUGCUGCAGCUCUGUCAGCUUCAGUCUCCCAUGCAGAGCUCUGAGCGCAUGUGUGGCUCUGCACCCUUAGCAGCGUUGCUAACUCCUCAGUAAGGAAAGCCUGCUUCAUGUCAGAGUCUCUAAACUCCAGAAGAAGUCGAUAAAAGUCCCUUUCUUUCUAAAAAAAAGUCGUUAGGGGGUCUGAAAAGUCAUUGAAUCUAACAACAAAGUCGCUAGGUUUGCAACUACGUGUCCCAGACUGCAUCCCUGCUGAGAGUCCCUCCCUCCCUUCUCAUGUUGCAGGAAGAACGUAAGCACCCUCCCCUUGUCAAUCAGUCAACAUAUAAUUUUGGAUUGGUUGUUGUGGUGAAGUUUUCCACCAAUAGGAGAGAUGUUGUGGUGUGUUUUUUUUUUCUUUUGGCAAGCCUUUUCCGCCUGUAAGACCUGUCGCUAAUGUCUGCAUGCUAUGUUUUCCUGUCUCAUACAGCGCGAUCGAGCGCCGAACGUGAUCAAAAUAAGCAGAAAAAAAGUAUCGCGGACAUAAUUUAUCAUAACUCUGGUUUUAUUUGGCCUAUCAACACAAUUUAAAAACUGGUAUAUAGGUUGAGGUCCUCACUUUUGAGAUAAGUUGAAACGGAGAGUCAACGAGGCUCCGUCUUGCAGCUACAUCCGGUUAAAUAUGUCAUGUGACUUGAACGCACACACAGACACACACACAGGCACACACACACACACACACACACUCAGAGUCUGGUUUUUAGCACCUGCAAAAACAUGCUAUUUACAUAUUUGACAAGAAUGCAGAGGCUCCUUUUGCCCCUGAAAAAAAUCAAAUUUCAAACACAACUUGACUGGUCAUUUCUCCAAAAGACAACCAUGAAGCUCCAUCCAAACCUGAAGCAGGUAGUUGGUGCAUGUGUACAGUAACCUGAGGGGAGUGAGGUGAGUGCUUCUGAGGAGAACAUGAGCUGUGAAGAUUCACCUUGGAGCUAGAACAGAGACAUGCACAUGAUUAUACAGGGGCAGGGGCUCAAGUUUUUUCCAGUCGUUUAUACAAUAUGGAAAUUAAUGUGAAAUUAAAACACAAAGUAUUAAUAGAAAGGUAAUGACUGUCCUGUGUAAGUGACAGUGAUAUCCAAUAGGCUAGGCACUCACGAGGCUGGCUGUGGCAAGUGUAAGUGAAAGCAACACGCACUGGCAAGAAGAACAGCAAACGCCGAUGAAGGAAAAGGGUCUUUGCAGUGAUGGGCGUUACCAGAGAGGGCGAUGGCCAGAGGACACAAAUGGGACGGGGAGGCAGCACGUUUGGGGGGGGGGGACGCGACACGGCUCGGGCCCGCCAGUGCCCCAACGGGGUCCUAGUUAUUAUUUUUCUGCCCCUUUGAACUGGAAAAUGGCCCACUUCCCACUGGUGAAAAGUCAUGAAAUUUGGCAGGACGACCGGGCCUGGUGAAAAAUUCGAUAUUCUGAAGUCGCCCAAAAAAUCAAAUGCAAAAUGGCUCCAUAGCGCCCCCUAAGGUGAAAAAUUCACAUGAUUGAGUGUCACGCCUGUACGCUUUGUCAAAAUGACACAAAAUUUGACACACACGUGUAUCUCAAUAAGAUCUACAAAAAAGUCAGUCCGGGCGUAUCUGUCAAAUGUACGGUUAAAGGGCUAUUUCGCAUUUUUUGCCGAUCCGCACACAUUGGAAUUUCGCUAACUCCUCCGAAGGCUUUCGUUCCACCGGCACCAAAUUUGCUCAGGCCAAUCUACACCCCAUGGCCAUUAAAAGUUGUACAAAUCAUGAUGCUGCAUCCCACGGUUUACGUUCUAGGGGGCGCCAAAGAUAACCCAGAAAUCCACAUUCUUAAAAGUCGUAUAACUUUUUAUUUUUGUCCUCACUGGCCUCCAAGUUUUCUAGGAUGAUGCAAUGUCUAGCCAUCAACACAUUUGUGAAGGAAUUUUUACUCCCCAAAAGAGCGCCCCCCCAUGGCAGGAGAAAAAAGUCCAGUUUUUCUUCCCCCUAAGGUGAAAAUUCACAUUAUUGAGUGUCACGCCUGUACGCUUUGUCAUAUUGUAACAAACUUUGACAAUCACGUGUUUCUCAAUAAGAUCUACGAAAUAGUCAAUGGGCGCGUAUCUGUAAAAUGUACGGUUAAAGGGCUAUUUCGCAUUUUUGGUCGAUUCGCACACAUUGGAAUGUGGCUAACUCCUCCUAAAUAUUUCGUUCCACUGACACCAAAUUUACUCAGGCCAAUCUACAUUCCAUGGCCAUUCAAAGUUGUAAAAAUCAUGACGCUGCACCCCACGGUUUAUGUUCUAGGGGGCGCCAAAGAUAACCCAAAAAUCCACAUUCUUAAAAGUCUUAUAACUUUUUAUUUUUGUCCUCACUGGCCUCCAAGUUUUCUAGGAUGAUGCAAUGUCUAGCCAUCAACACAUUUGUGAAGGAAUUUUUACUCCCUAAAAGAGCGCCCCCCCAUGGCAGGAGAAAAAGUCAAGUUUUUCCUGCCCAUCGCUCAAUGACUCAAACACAUCGCUCUCUCGGCAAAACCGAAAGGAGGAGCAACUUGCCAUUUGGAUAUAUCCUAGCUGUGUUUGUGCCCUCACUCAUGGUCCAGUCCUUUUCAAAUAGGACACGUAGUUUGUCUGCGGCGAGCGUUUUGGUAGAAACUGCGCCUCCCAUUCAUUAUAAUUGUAAAUGACCACAGACAAGUGCGCACACCAUCUUUGGACCUUGAGUGUGACGCGAUCGGUAGGGAGAGGCGGUCGUGUUGGGGGCGGCGCGACACGGCUCGGGCCCGCCAGUGCCCCAACGGGGCCCUAGUUCUUCUUAUUUUUCCUCCCCUUUGAAGGGGAAAAUGGCCCACUUCCCACUGGCGAAAACUCAUGACAUUUGGCAGGAUGACCGGGCCUGGUGAAAAAUUCGAUAUUCUGAAGUCGCCCAAACAAUAAAAUGCAAAAUGGCUCCAUAGCGCCCCCUAAGGUGAAAAUUCACACUAUUGACUGUCACGCCUGUACGCUUUGUCAUAUUGACACAAAAAUUGACACACACAUGUAUCUCAAUACGAUCUACAAAAAAGUCAGUGUGGGCGUAUCUGUCAAAUGUACGGUUAAAGGGUUAUUUCGCAUUUUUUACCGAUCCGCACACAUUGGAAUUUCGCUAACUCCUCCGAAGGCUUUCGUUCCACCGGCACCAAAUUUGCUCAGGCCAAUCUACACCCCAUGGCCAUUAAAAGUUGUACAAAUCAUGACGCUGCACCCCACGGUUUAGGUUCUAGGGGGCGCCAAAGAUAACCCAAAAAUCCACAUUCUUAAAAGUCUUAUAACUUUUUAUUUUUGUCCUCACUGGCCUCCAAGUUCUCUAGGAUGAUGCAAUGUCCAGCAAUUAACACAUUUGUGAAGGAAUUUUUACUCGCCAAAAGAGCGCCCCCCCAUGGCAGGAGAAAAAAGUCCAUUUUUUUCUUGUCCCCUAAGGCGAAUAUACACAUUGUUGAGUGUCACGCCUGUACGCUUUGUCAUAUUGACACAAAAUUUGGCAAUCACGUGUAUCUCAAUAAGAUCUACGAAAAAGUCAAUGUGCACGUAUCUGUAAAAUGUACGGUUAAAGGGCUAUUUCGCAUUUUUUGCCGAUUCGCACACAUUGGAAUGUGGCUAACUCCUCCUAAGGCUUUCGUCCCACUGACACCAAAUUUGCUCAGGCCAAUCUAAACCCCAUGGCCAUUCAAAGUUGUAAAUAUCAUGACGCUGCACCCCACGGUUUACGUUCUAGGGGGCGCCAAAGAGGACCCAAAUAUCCACAUUUUUAAAAGUCUUAUAACUUUAUUUUUGUCCUCACUGGCCUCCAAGUUUUCUAGGAUGAUGCAAUGUUCAGUCAUCAACACAUUUGUGAAGGAAUUUUUUCUCCCCAAAAGAGCGCCCUCCCAUGGCAGGAGAAAAAGUCAAGUUUUUCCUGCCCAUCGCUCAAUGGCUCAAACGCAUCGCUCUCUCGGCAAAACCGAAAGGAGGAGCACCUUGCCAUUUGGAUAUAUCAUAGCUGUGUUUGUGCCCUCACUCAUGGUCCAGACUUUUUUCAAAAAGGACAUGGAGUUUGUCUGCAGCGAGCGUUUUGGUAGAAACUGCGCCUCCCAUUCAUUAUAAUGGUAAAUGACCACAGACAAGUGCGCACACCAUCUUUGGACCUUGAGUGUGACGCGAUCGGGAGGGGUAGGCGGUCGCGCUGGGGGCGGCGCGACACGGCUCGGGCCCGCCAGUGCCCCAACGGGGCCCUAGUUUUUUCUUUUUCCUCCCCUUUGAACUGGAAAAUGGCCCACUUCCCACUGGCGAAAACUCAGGAAAUUUGGCAGGACGACCGGGCCUGGUGAAAAAUUUGAUAUUCCGAAGUCGCCCAAACAAGAAAAUGCAAAAUGGCUCCAUAGCGCCCCCUAAGGUGAAAAUUCACAUGACGGCUGUACGCUUUGUCAUAUUGACACAAAAAUUGACACACACAUGUAUCUCAAUAAGAUCUACAAAAAAGUCAGUGCGGGCGUAUCUGUCAAAUGUACGGUUAAUGGGUUAUUUUGCAUUUUUUGCAGAUCUGCACACAUUGGAAUUUCGCUAACUCCUCCGAAGGCUUUCGUUCCACCGGCACCACAUUUGCUCAGGCCAAUCUACACCCCAUGGCCAUUAAAAGUUAUUCAAAUCAUGACGCUGCACCCCACGGUUUAGGUUCUAGGGGGCGCCAAAAAUAACCCUAAAAUCCACAUAUUUAAAAGUCUUAUAACUUUUUAUUUUUGUCCUCACUGGCCUCCAAGUUUUCUAGGAUGAUGCAAUGUCCAGCCAUCAACACAUUUGUGAAGGAAUUUUUACUCCCCAAAAGAGCGCCCCCCCAUGGCAGGAGAAAAAAGUCCAUUUUUUCUUGUCCCCUAAGGUGAAAAUACACAUUGUUGAGUGUCACGCCUUUACGCUUUGGCAAAAUGACACAAAAAUUUACACACACAUGUAUCUCUAUAAGAUCUACAAAAAAGUCUAUGAGCGCGUAUCUGUCAAAUGUACGGUUAAAGGGUUAUUCCGCAUUUUUUGCCGAUACGCACACAUUGGAAUGUGGCUAACUCCUCCGAAGGCUUUCGUUCCACCGGCACCACAUUUGCUCAGGCCAAUCUACACCCCAUGGCCAUUAAAAGUUAUUCAAAUCAUGACGCUGCACCCCACGGUUUAGGUUCUAGGGGGCGCCAAAGAUAACCCUAAAAUCCACAUUUUUAAAAGUCUUAUAACUUUUUAUUUUUGCCCUCACUGGCCUCCAAGUUUUCUAGGAUGAUGCAAUGUCCAGCCAUCAACACAUUUGUGAAGGAAUUUUUACUCCCCAAAAGAGCGCCCCCCCAUGGCAGGAGAAAAAAGUCCAUUUUUUUCUUGUCCCCUAAGGUGAAAAUACACAUUGUUGAGUGUCACGCCUGUACGCUUUGUCAAAAUGACACAAAAAUUGACACACACAUGUAUCUCAAUAAGAUCUACAAAAAAGUCAAUGCGCGCGUAUCUGUCUAAUGUACGGUUAAAGGGUUAUUCCGCAUUUUUUGCCGAUUCGCACACAUUGGAAUUUCGCUAACUCCUCCGAAGGCUUUCGUUCCACCGGCACCACAUUUGCUCAGGCCAAAUUACACCCCAUGGCCAUUAAAAGUUAUUCAAAUCAUGACGCUGCACCCCACGGUUUACGUUCUAGGGGGCGCCAAAGAUAACCCAAAAAUCCACAUUUUUAAAAGUCUUAUAACUUUUUAUUUUUGUCCUCACUGGCCUCCAAGUUUUCUAGGAUGAUGCAAUGUCCAGCCAUCAACACAUUUGUGAAGGAAUUUUUACUCCCCAAAAGAGCGCCCCCCAUGGCAGGAGAAAAAAGUCCAUUUUUUCUUGUCCCCUAAGGUGAAAAUACACAUUGUUGACUGUCACGCCUGUACGCUUUGGCAAAAUGACACAAAAAUUGACAAUCAUGUGUAUCUCAAUUAGAUCUACGAAAAAGUCAAAGAGCGCGUAUCUGUAUAAUGUACGGUAAAAGGGCUAUUUUGCAUUUUUUGCCGAUUCGCACACAUUGGAAUUUCGCUAACUCCUCCUAAGGCUUUCGUCCCACUGACACCAAAUUUGCUCAGGCCAAUCUACACUCCAUGGCCAUUCAAAGUUGUAAAAAUCAUGACGCUGCACCCCACGGUUUACGUUUUAGGGGGCGCCAAAGAUGACCCAAAUAUACAUUACAGUAGACAAAGUAGUUUUGCCCACUGAGUGGCGGCAAAGGGACUUGUCUGUGGAGUCUGUGAGUCACUAUUGGCCGUUUUUGACUACUUUAGAUUUUACCUUUAUAUUUCCUCUUACAAAAUUUUUACCUUGCCUUGCCUGGUAUCAUUUUUUUCAGCACAACCUCACCUGUGUCAAUUUACAGUUAUUUUAUCAUUUUGACAUACUAUAUUUACACAUUGGACCCAAAUUCACACACAAAACAUAAAAUCCGAGUGGAAAAAAGUAACGUUUUUACUGUGAAAACCACAAAUAUGUGUGAUGAACUGUUUUUAAAACUUAAACUUCAAAUAAAAAUUGUAAACUUCAAAACAUAUGCAAAUUUUUAACAAAGAACAUAGUAAUUUACCUCUAUUGACAUCAAAAUGCAGGCAAUGGCCCAGGUGUUCUUUGUAAAAUUAUUUACAAAACACUGUAUAGUCUCACAAAUGUCACUUUUUAUUUAUGCCACUACAAAAAAACAUGAUGUAAAUGAUGCAUGAUGUAAAACAUGAUGUAAAAAACUUGUGUAGAUCCUCCUCUAUGUUAGUCCAUGUGUAAUUUUUCCAUAAUUCUUUGUUUUUUGCAGCAUUUUUGUUAGUGUAACUGCAGAUUGUGCUGACAGUGUCUAUGGCAAAAAAAAAAAAAAAAUUAAAAUGCCUCAACAUGAACCCCUGGUGGUCUCUGAAGGUGAAACCUGCUAACUGCUGCAGCUCUGUCAGCUUCAGUCUCCCAUGCAGAGCUCGGAGCGCAUGUGUGGCUCUGCACCCUUAGCAGCGUUGCUAACUCCUCAGUAAGGAAAGCCUGCUUCAUGUCAGAGUCUCUAAACUCCAGAAGAAGUCGAUAAAAGUCACUUUCUUUCUAAAAAAAAGUCGUUAGGGGGUCUGAAAAGUCAUUGAAUCUAACAACAAAGUCGCUAGGUUUGCAACUACGUGUCCCAGACUGCAUCCCUGCUGAGAGUCCCUCCCUCCCUUCUCAUAUUGCAGGAAGAACGUAAGUUCCCGCCCCUUGUCAAUCAGUCACCAUAUAAUUUUGGAUUGGUUGUUGUGGUGAAGUUUUCCACCAAUAGGAGAGAUGUUGUGGUGUGUUUUUUUUUCCUUUGGCAAGCCUUUUCCGCCUGUAAGACCUGUCGCUAAUGUCUGCAUGCUAUGUUUUCCUGUCUCAUACAGCGCGAUCGAGCGCCGAACGUGAUCAAAAUAAGCAGAAAACAAGUAUCGUGGACAUAAUUUAUCAUAACUCUGGUUUUAUUUGGCCUAUCAACACAAUUUAAAAACUGGUAUAUAGGUUGAGGUCCUCACUUUUGAGAUAAAUUGAAACGGAGAGUCAACGAGGCUCCGUCUUGCAGCUACAUCCGGUUAAAUAUGUCAUGUGACUUGAACGCACACACACACACACACACACACACACACACACACACACAAACACACGCACACACACACACUCAGAGUCUGGUUUUUAGCACCUGCAAAAACAUGCUAUUUACAUAUUUGACAAGAAUGCAGAGGCUCCUUUUGCCCCUGAAAAAAAUCAAAUUUCAAACACAACUUGACUGGUCAUUUCUCCAAAAGACAACCAUGAAGCUCCAUCCAAACCUGAAGCAGGCAGUUGGUGCAUGUGUACAGUAACCUGAGGGGAGUGAGGUGACUGCUUCUGAGGAGAACAUGAGCAGUGAAGAUUCACCUUAGAGCUAGAACAGAGACGUGCACAUGAUUAUACAGGGGCAGGGGCUCAAGUUUUUUCCAGUUGUUUAUACAAUAUGGAAAUUAAUGUGAAAUUAAAAAACAAAGUAUUAAUAGAAAGGUAAUGACUGUCCUGUGUAGGUGACAGUGAUAUCCAAUAGGCUAGGCACUCACGAGGCUGGCUGUGGCAAGUGUAAGUGAAAGCAACACGCACUGGCAGGAAGAACAGCAAACGCCGAUGAAGGAAAAGGGUCUUUGCAGUGAUGGGCGUUACCAGAGAGGGCGAUGGCCAGAGGACACAAAUGGGACGGGGAGGCAGCGCGUUGGGGGGGGGACGCGACACAGCUCGGGCCCGCCAGUGCCCCAACGGGGUCCUAGUUAGGGCCCGAGCGUAGCUGCUAAGCAGCUGCGAGAGCCCUCUUGUUCCUGCAUGUUUCCUUCUUUCGUUAUUAUUUUUCCUCCGCUUUAAACUGGAAAAUGGCCCACUUCCCACUGGCGAAAACUCAGGAAAUUUGGCAGGACGACCGGGCCUGGUGAAAAAUUCGAUAUUCUGAAGUCGCCCAAACAAUAAAAUGCAAAAUGGCUCCAUAGCGCCCCCUAAGGUGAAAAUUCACAUGACGGCUGUACGCUUUGUCAUAUUGACACAAAAAUUGACACACAUAUGUAUCUCAAUAAGAUCUACAAAAAAGUCAGUGUGGGCGUAUCUGUCAAAUGUACGGUUAAUGGGUUAUUUUGCAUUUUUUGCAGAUCUGCACACAUUGGAAUUUCGCUAACUCCUCCGAAGGCUUUCGUUCGACCGGCACCACAUUUGCGCAGGCCAAUCUACCCCCCAUGGCCAUUAAAAGUUGUACAAAUCAUGUCGCUGCACCCCACGGUUUAUGUUCUAGGGGGCGCCAAAGAUAACCCAAAAUCCACAUUCUUAAAAGUCUUAUAACUUUUUAUUUUUGUCCUCACUGCCCUCCAAGUUUUCUAGGAUGAUGCAAUGUCCAGCCAAUAACACAUUUGUGAAGGAAUUUUUACUCCCCAAAAGAGCGCCCCCCCAUGGCAGGAGAAAAAAGUCAAUUUUUUCUUGUCCCCUUACAUGAAAACACACAUUGUUGAGUGUCACGCCUGAACGCUUUGUCAUAUUGACACAAAAAUUGACAAUCAUGUGUAUCUCAAUUAGAUCUACGAAAAAGUCAAAAAGCGCGUAUCUGUAUAAUGUACGGUUAAAGGGCUAUUUCGCAUUUUUUGCCGAUUCGCACACAUUGGAAUGUGGCUAUCUCCUCCUAAGGCUUUCGUCCCACCGAUACCAAAUUUGCUCAGGGCAAUCUACAUCCCAUGCCCAUUCAAAGUUGUAAAAAUCAUGACGCUGCACCCCACGGUUUACGUUCUAGGGGGCGCCAAAGAUGACCCAAAAAUCCACAUUCUUAAAAGUCAUUUUGGCCACUGCAGGAGUACAGAGUACUGCAGUUCUAGGGGGCGCCAAAGAUGACCCAAAAAUCCACAUUCUUAAAAGUCUUUUUGGCCACUGCAGGAGUACAGAGUACUGCAGGAUACACACACAUACACACACACACACACACACACACACACACACACACACACACACACACACACACACACACACUCAGAGUCUGUUUUUUAGCACCUGCAAAAACAUGCUAUUUACAUAUUUGACAAGAAUGCAGAGGCUUCCUUUUGCCGCUGAAAAAAAUCAUAUUUCAAACACAACUUGACUGUUCAUUUCUCCAAAAGACAACCAUGAAGCUCCAUCCAAACCUGAAGCAGGCAGUUGGUGCAUGUGUACAGUAACCUGAGGGGAGUGAGGUGAGUGCUUCUGAGGAGAACAUGAGCAGUGAAGAUUCACCUUGGAGCUAGAACAGAGACAUGCACAUGAUUAUACAGGGGCAGGGGCUCAAGUUUUUUCCAGUUGUUUAUACAAUAUGGAAAUUAAUGUGAAAUUAAAACACAAAGUAUUAAUAGAAAGGUAAUGACUGUCCUGUGUAGGUGACAGUGAUAUCCAAUAGGCUAGGCACUCACGAGGCUGGCUGUGGCAAGUGUAAGUGAAAGCAACACGCACUGGCAGGAAGAACAGCAAACGCCGAUGAAGGAAAAGGGUCUUUGCAGUGAUGGGCGUUACCAGAGAGGGCGAUGGCCAGAGGACACAAAUGGGACGGGGAGGCAGCACGUUGGGGGGGGGGACGCGACACGGCUCGGGCCCGCCAGUGCCCCAACGGGGUCCUAGUUAUUAUUAGGGCCCGAGCGUAGCUGCUAAGCAGCUGCGAGAGCCCUAUUAUUCCCCAAGUGGUUUUUCUUUGUUAGGGCCCGAGCGUAGCUGCUAAGCAGCUGCGAGAGCCCUAUUAUUCCUGAUGGAUUCUUCUUUCUUCUUCUUCUUAUUAGGGCCCGAGCCAGCUGCAGAGCAGCCGGGCGUAGGCCCUAUUAUUCCCCAAGUGGUUUUUCUUUGUUUCUUUCUUUCUUUCUUUCUUUCUUCUUUUUCCUCCCCUUUGAACUGGAAAAUGGCCCACUUCCCACUGGCGAAAACUCAUGAAAUUUGGCAGGACGACCGGGCCUGGUGAAAAAUUUGAUAUUCUGAAGUCGCCCAAACAUUAAAAUGCAAAAUGGCUCCAUAGCGCCCCCUAAGGUGGAAAUUCACACUAUUGACUGUCACGCCUGUACGCUUUGUCAUAUUGACACAAAAAUUGACACACAUAUGUAUCUCAAUAAGAUCUACAAAAAAGUCAGUGCGGCCGUAUCUGUCAAAAUUACGGUUAAAGGGUUAUUUCGCAUUUUUUGCCGAUCCGCACACAUUGGAAUUUCGCUAACUCCUCCGAAGGCUUUCGUUCCACCAGCACCACAUUUGCUCAGGCCAAUCUACACCCCGUGGCCAUUAAAAGUUAUCAAAAUCAUGACGCUGCACCCCAAGGUUUAGGUUCUAGGGGGCGCCAAAGAUAACACUAAAAUCCACAUAUUUAAAAGUCUUAUAACUUUUUAUUUUUGUCCUCACUGGCCUCCAAGUUUUCUAGGAUGAUGCAAUGUCCAGCCAUCAACACAUUUGUGAAGGAAUUUUUACUCCCCAAAAGAGCGCCCCCCCAUGGCAGGAGAAAAAAGUCCAUUUUUUCUUGUCCCCUAAGGUGAAAAUACACAUUGUUGAGUGUCACGCCUAUACGCUUUGUCAAAAUGACACAAAAAUUGACACACACAUGUAACUCAAUAAGAUCUACAAAAAAGUCCAUGCGCGCGUAUCUGUCAAAUGUACAGUUAAAGGGUUAUUCCGCAUUUUUUGCCGAUACGCACACAUUGGAAUUUCGCUAACUCCUCCGAAGGCUUUCGUUCCACCGGCACCACAUUUGCUCAGGCCAAUCUACACCCCAUGGCCAUUAAAAGUUAUUCAAAUCAUGAUGCUGCACCCCACGGUUUAGGUUCUAGGGGGCGCCAAAGAUAACCCAAAAAUCCACAUUCUUAAAUGUUUUAUAACUUUUUAUUUUUGUCCUCACUGGCCUCCAAGUUUUCUAGGAUGAUGCAAUGUCCAGCCAUCAACACAUUUGUGAAGGAAUUUUUACUCCCCAAAAGAGCGCCCCCCCAUGGUAGGAGAAAAAAGUCAAUUUUUUCUUGUCCCCUUACAUAAAAAUACACAUUGUUGAGUGUCACGCCUGAACGCUUUGUCAUAUUGACACAAAAAUUGACAAUCAUGUGUAUCUCAAUUAGAUCUACGAAAAAGUCAAAGAGCGCGUAUCUGUAUAAUGUACGGUUAAAGGGCUAUUUUGCAUUUUUUGCCGAUUCGCACACAUUGGAAUGUGGCUAUCUCCUCCUAAGGCUUUCGUCCCACCGAUACCAAAUUUGCUCAGGGCAAUCUACACCCCAUGCCCAUUCAAAGUUGUAAAAAUCAUGACGCUGCACCCCACGGUUUACGUUCUAGGGGGCGCCAAAGAUGACCCAAAAAUCCACAUUCUUAAAAGUCAUUUUGGCCACUGCAGGAGUACAGAGUACUGCAGUUCUAGGGGGCGCCAAAGAUGACCCAAAAAUCCACAUUCUUAAAAGUCUUUUUGGCCACUGCAGGAGUACAGAGUACUGCAGGAUACACACACAUAUACACACACGCCAACAUACACACAUACACACACACACACACACACACACACACAGACACACACACACACUCAGAGUCUGUUUUUUAGCACCUGCAAAAACAUGCUGUUUACAUAUUUGACAAGAAUGCAGAGGCUUCCUUUUGCCCCUGAAAAAAAUCAAAUUUCAAACACAACUUGACUGUUCAUUUCUCCAAAAGACAACCAUGAAGCUCCAUUUCAAACCUGAAGCAGAUAGUUGGUGCAUGUGUACAGUAACCUGAGGGGAGUGAGGUGACUAUUUCUGAGGAGAACAUGAGCAGUGAAGAUUCACCUUGGAGCUAGAACAGGGACGUGCACAUGAUUAUACAGGGGCAGGGGCUCAAGAUUUUUCCAGUCAUUUAUACAAUAUGGAAAUUAAUGUGAAAUUAAACCACAAAUAUGUGUGAUGAACUGUUUUUAAAACUUAAACUUCAAAUAAAAAUUGUAAACUUCAAAACAUAUGCAAAUUUUUAACAAAGAACAUAGUAAUUUACCUCUAUUUACAUCAAAAUGCAGGCAAUGGCCCAGGCGUUCUUUGUAAAAUUAUUUACAAAACACUGUAUAGUCUCACAAAUGUCACUUUUUAUUUAUGCCACUACAAAAAAACAUGAUGUAAAUGAUGCAUGAUGUAAAACAUGAUGUAAAAAACUUGUGUAGAUCCUCCUCUAUGUCAGUCCAUGUGUAAUUUUUCCAUAAUUAUUUGUUUUUUGCAGCAUUUUUGUUAGUGUAACUGCAGAUUGUGCUGACAGUGUCUAUGGCACAAAAAAAAAAAAAAUUAAAAUGCCUCAACAUGAACCCCUGGUGGUCUCUGAGGGUGAAACCUGCUAACUGCUGCAGCUCUGUCAGCUUCAGUCUCCCAUGCAGAGCUCUGAGCGCAUGUGUGGCUCUGCACCCUUAGCAGCGUUGCUAACUCCUCAGUAAGGAAAGCCUGCUUCAUGUCAGAGUCUCUAAACUCCAGAAGAAGUCGAUAAAAGUCCCUUUCUUUCUAAAAAAGUCGUUAGGGUGUCUGAAAAGUCAUUGAAUCUAACAACAAAGUCGCUAGGUUUGCAACUACGUGUCCCAGACUGCAUCCCUGCUGAGAGUCCCUCCCUCCCUUCUCAUGUUGCAGGAAGAACGUAAGCGCCCGCCCCUUGUCAAUCAGUCACCAUAUAAUUUUGGAUUGGUUGUUGUGGUGAAGUUUUCCACCAAUAGGAGAGAUGUUGUGGUGUGUUUUUUUUUUCUUUUGGCAAGCCUUUUCCGCCUGUAAGACCUGUCGCUAAUGUCUGCAUGCUAUGUUUUCCUGUCUCAUACAGCGCGAUCGAGCGCCGAACGUGAUCAAAAUAAGCAGAAAAAAAGUAUCGCGGACAUAAUUUAUCAUAACUCUGGUUUUAUUUGGCCUAUCAACACAAUUUAAAAACUGGUAUAUAGGUUGAGGUCCUCACUUUUGAGAUAAGUUGAAACGGAGAGUCAACGAGGCUCCGUCUUGCAGCUACAUCCGGUUAAAUAUGUCAUGUGACUUGAACGCACACAUAGACACACACACACGCACACACACACACACACACACACACACACACACACACACACACACACACACACACACACUCAGAGUCUGGUUUUUAGCACCUGCAAAAACAUGCUAUUUACAUAUUUGACAAGAAUGCAGAGGCUCCUUUUGCCCCUGAAAAAAAUCAAAUUUCAAACACAACUUGACUGGUCAUUUCUCCAAAAGACAACCAUGAAGCUCCAUCCAAACCUGAAGCAGGCAGUUGGUGCAUGUGUACAGUAACCUGAGGGGAGUGAGGUGAGUGCUUCUGAGGAGAACAUGAGCAGUGAAGAUUCACCUUGGAGCUAGAACAGAGACAUGCACAUGAUUAUACAGGGGCAGGGGCUCAAGUUUUUUCCAGUCGUUUAUACAAUAUGGAAAUUAAUGUGAAAUUAAAACACAAAGUAUUAAUAGAAAGGUAAUGACUGUCCUGUGUAGGUGACAGUGAUAUCCAAUAGGCUAGGCACUCACGAGGCUGGCUGUGGCAAGUGUAAGUGAAAGCAACACGCACUGGCAGGAAGAACAGCAAACGCCGAUGAAGGAAAAGGGUCUUUGCAGUGAUGGGCGUUAACAGAGAGGGCGAUGGCCAGAGGACACAAAUGGGACGGGGAGGCAGCACGUUGGGGGGUGGGGGGGUGGGGGGGGGGAGACGCGACACGGCUCGGGCCCGCCAGUGCCCCAACGGGGUCCUAGUUAUUUUUCUGCCCCUUUGAACUGGAAAAUGGCCCACUUCCCACUGGUGAAAACUCAUGAAAUUUGGCAGGACGACCGGGCCUGGUGAAAAAUUCGAUAUUCUGAAGUCAUCCAAACAAUCAAAUGCAAAAUGGCUCCAUAGCGCCCCCUAAGGUGAAAAAUUCACAUGAUUGAGUGUCACGCCUGUACGCUUUGUCAAAAUGACACAAAAUUUGACACACACGUGUAUCUCAAUAAGAUCUACAAAAAAGUCAGUGCGGGCGUAUCUGUCAAAUGUACGGUUAAAGGGCUAUUUCGCAUUUUUUGCCGAUCCACACACAUUGGAAUUUCGCUAACUCCUCCGAAGGCUUUCGUUCCAAAGGCACCACAUUUGCUCAGGCCAAUCUACACCCCAUGGCCAUUAAAAGUUGUACAAAUCAUGACGCUGCACCCCACGGUUUACGUUCUAGGGGGCGCCAAAGAUAACCCAAAAAUCCACAGUCUUAAAAGUCUUAUAACUUUUUAUUUUUGUCCUCACUGGCCUCCAAGUUCUCUAGGAUGAUGCAAUGUCCAGCCAUCAACACAUUUGUGAAGGAAUUUUUACUCGCCAAAGAGCGCCCCCCCAUGGCAGGAGAAAAAAGUCCAUUUUUUCUUGUCUCCUAAGGCGAAAAUUCACACUAUUGAGUGUCACGCCUAUACGCUUUGUCAUAUUGACACAAAAAUUGACACACACAUGUAUCUCAAUAAGAUCUACAAAAAAGUCAGUGCGGGCGUAUCUGUCAAAUGUACGGUUAAAGGGCUAUUUCGCAUUUUUUGCCGAUCCGCACACAUUGGAAUUUCGCUAACUCCUCCGAAGGCUUUCGUUCCAAAGGCACCACAUUUGCUCAGGCCAAUCUACACCCCAUGGCCAUUAAAAGUUGUACAAAUCAUGACGCUGCACCCCACGGUUUACGUUCUAGGGGGCGCCAAAGAUAACCCAAAAAUCCACAGUCUUAAAAGUCUUAUAACUUUUUAUUUUUGUCCUCACUGGCCUCCAAGUUCUCUAGGAUGAUGCAAUGUCCAGCCAUCAACACAUUUGUGAAGGAAUUUUUACUCGCCAAAAGAGCGCCCCCCCAUGGCAGGAGAAAAAAGUCCAUUUUUUCUUGUCUCCUAAGGCGAAAAUACACAUUGUUGACUGUCACGCCUUUACGCUUUGUCAAAAUGACACAAAAUUUGACAAACACAUGUAUCUCAAUAAGAUCUACGAAAAAGUCAAUGUGAGCGUAUCUGUUCAAUGUACGGUUAAAGGGCUAUUUCGCAUUUUUGGCCGAUUCGCACACAUUGGAAUGUGGCUAACUCCUCCUAAAUCUUUUGUCCCAUCGGCUUCAAAUUUGCUCAGGUCAAUCUACACCCCAUGGCCAUUCAAAGUUGUACAAAUCAUGACACUGCACCCCACAGUUUACGUUCUAGGGGGCGCCAAAGAGGACCCAAAUAUCCACAUUUUUAAAAGUCUUAUAACUUUUUAUUUUUGUCCUCACUGGCCUCCAAGUUUUCUAGGAUGAUGCAAUGUCCAGCCAUCAACACAUUUGUGAAGGAAUUUUUUCUCCCCAAAAGAGCGCCCCCCCAUGGCAGGAGAAAAAGUCAAGUUUUCCUGCCCAUCGCUCAAUGGCUCAAACGCAUCGCUCUCUCGGCAAAACCGAAAGGAGGAGCAACUUGCCAUUUGGAUAUAUACUAGCUGUGUUUGUGCCCUCACUUAUGGUCCAGACUUUUUUCAAAAAGGACAUGGAGUUUGUCUGCAGCGAGCGUUUUGGUAGAAACUGCGCCUCCCAUUCAUUAUAAUGGUAAAUGACCACAGACAAGUGCGCACACCAUCUUUGGACCUUGAGUGUGACGCGAUCGGGAGGGGUAGGCGGUCGCGCUGGGGGCGGCACGACACGGCUCGGGCCCGCCAGUGCCCCAACGGGGCCCUAGUUAGGGCCCGAGCGUAGCUGCUAAGCAGCUGCGAGAGCCCUCUUGUUCCUGAUGGAUUCUUCUUUCGUUAUUUUUCCUCCGCUUUAAACUGGAAAAUGGCCCACUUCCCACUGGCGAAAACUCAGGAAAUUUGGCAGGACGACCGGGCCUGGUGAAAAAUUUGAUAUUCUGAAGUCGUCCAAACAAAAAAAUGAAAAAUGGCUCCAUAGCGCCCCCUAUGGUGAAAACUCACCUGAUGCCUGUACGCUUUGUCAAAAUGACACAAAAUUUGACACACAUGUGUAUUUCAAUAAGAUCUACGAAAAAGUCAGUGCGGGCGUAUCUGCCAAAUGUACGGUUAAAGGGCUAUUUCGCUUUUUUUGCCGAUCCGCACACAUUGGAAUUUCGCUAACUCCUCCGAAGGCUUUCGUUCCACCGGCACCACAUUUGCUCAGGCCAAUCUACACCCCAUGGCCAUUAAAAGUUGUACAAAUCAUGAUGCUGCACCCCACGGUUUACUUUCUAGGGGGCGCCAAAGAUAACACAAAAAUCCACAUUCUUAAAAGUCUUAUAACUUUUUAUUUUUGUCCUCACUGGCCUCCAAGUUUUCUAGGAUGAUGCAAUGUCCAGCCAUCAACACAUUUGUGAAGGAAUUUUUACUCCCCAAAAGAGCGCCCCCCCAUGGCAGGAGAAAAAAGUCCAUUUUUUCUUGUCUCCUAAGGUAAAAAUACACAUUGUUGAGUGUCACGCCUAUACACUUUGUCAUAUUGACACACAAUUUGACAAUCACGUGUAUCUCAAUAAGAUCUACAAAAAAGUCAAUAGGCACGUAUCUGUCAAAUGUAUGGUUAAAGGGCUAUUUCGCAUUUUUUGCCGAUUCGCACACAUUGGAAUGUGGCUAUCUCCUCCUAAGGCUUUCGUCCCACCGAUACCAAAUUUGCUCAGGGCAAUCUACACCCCAUGGCCAUUCAAAGUUGUAGAAAUCAUGACGCUGCACCCCACGGUUUACGUUCUAGGGGGCGCCAAAGAUGACCCAAAAAUCCACAUUCUUAAAAGUCAUUUUGGCCACUGCAGGAGUACAGAGUACUGCAGUUCUAGGGGGCGCCAAAGAUGACCCAAAAAUCCACAUUCUUAAAAGUCUUUUUGGCCACUGCAGGAGUACAGAGUACUGCCGGACACACACACAUAUACACACACGCCACACACACACACACACACACACACACACACACACACACACACACACACACACUCAGAGUCUGUUUUUUAGCACCUGCAAAAACAUGCUGUUUACAUAUUUGACAAGAAUGCAGAGGCUUCCUUUUGCCCCUGAAAAAAAUCAAAUUUCAAACACAACUUGACUGUUCAUUUCUCCAAAAGACAACCAUGAAGCUCCAUCCAAACCUGAAGCAGAUAGUUGGUGCAUGUGUACAGUAACCUGAGGAGAGUGAGGUGACUACUUCUGAGGAGAACAUGAGCAGUGAAGAUUCACCUUGGAGCUAGAACAGGGACGUGCACAUGAUUAUACAGGGGCAGGGGCUCAAGUUUUUUCCAGUCAUUUAUACAAUAUGGAAAUUAAUGUGAAAUUAAACCACAAAUAUGUGUGAUGAACUGUUUUUAAAACUUAAACUUCAAAUAAAAAUUGUAAACUUCAAAACAUAUGCAAAUUUUUAACAAAGAACAUAGUAAUUUACCUCUAUUUACAUCAAAAUGCAGGCAAUGGCCCAGGCGUUCUUUGUAAAAUUAUUUACAAAACACUGUAUAGUCUCACAAAUGUCACUUUUUAUUUAUGCCACUACAAAAAAACAUGAUGUAAAUGAUGCAUGAUGUAAAACAUGAUGUAAAAAACUUGUGUAGAUCCUCCUCUAUGUCAGUCCAUGUGUAAUUUUUCCAUAAUUCUUUGUUUUUUGCAGCAUUUUUGUUAGUGUAACUGCAGAUUGUGCUGACAGUGUCUAUGGCAAAAAAAAAAAAAAAACUGAAAAUGCCUCAACAUGAACUCCUGGUGGUCUCUGAGGGUGAAACCUGCUAACUGUGCAGCUCUCUCAGCUCUAGUCUCCCAUGCAGAGCUCGGAGCGCAUGUGUGGCUCUGCACCCUUAGCAGCGUUGCUAACUCCUCAGUAAGGAAAGCCUGCUUCAUGUCAGAGUCUCUAAACUCCAGAAGAAGUCGAUAAAAGUCCCUUUCUUUCUAAAAAAAAGUCGUUAGGGGGUCUGAAAAGUAAUUGAAUCUAACAACAAAGUCGCUAGGUUUGCAACUACGUGUCCCAGACUGCAUCCCUGCUGAGAGUCCCUCCCUCCCUUCUCAUGUUGCAGGAAGAACGUAAGCGCCCGCCCCUUGUCAAUCAGUCACCAUAUAAUUUUGGAUUGGUUGUUGUGGUGAAGUUUUCCACCAAUAGGAGAGAUGUUGUGGUGUGUUUUUUUUUUCUUUUGGCAUGCCUUUUCCGCCUGUAAGAGCUGUCGCUAAUGUCUGCAUGCUAUGUUUUCCUGUCUCAUACAGCGUGAUCGAGCGCCGAACGUGAUCAAAAUAAGCAGAAAAAAAGUAUCGCGGACAUAAUUUAUCAUAACUCUAGUUUUAUUUGGCCUAUCAACACAAUUUAAAAACUGGUAUAUAGUUUGAGGUCCUCACUUUUGAGAUAAGUUGAAACGGAGGGUGAACGAGGCUCCCUCUUGCAGCUACAUCCGGUUAAAUAUGUCAUGUGACUUGAACGCUGGGGAGCGUCAAUCGACUGCAGAGCCAGCAGACAAAGUAGUUAUGCCACUAAGAGGCACACAUUUGUCAUAUGCUAUAAUCCUAACAUAUUUUAAUGCUUUUUCUAUUUAAACCUAAUGGAUCUAAGGUUUGACCUUCAAAAUUUAGGAAGAAUAUUUUUUUGCAGUAAUGACCCCCUUAAACAACCAGAGGUCCUUUCCUAAAGAUUAUGGAAAUUUUAGUGAAGGCCUUGGUUUCUUUCCUUGCAAAAUGUAUAGAAAUAAUAAAGCUAAAUACCAUAAAAUGGUCUUGGCGUAUUAGCAGUGAUAUAAAAUAGUGGUUUGAAUAUGAAUGAACAACAAAAAAAAACAUCAACAGAGCCUUUUUGAGUUGGGAUUCUUUCAUUAUCACACAAAAACAGACAUAGACAGACAUCUAAAGGGUAAGGGAAUGAUCAGCCCUCCUAACUCUCAGAUGAAUCUUCAAAAUUCACCGCAGAAAUAUGCUUAUUAUUCUUCUCAGAGUACUGCAAGAUAUAUACAAACACACACAGACACACACACACACACACACACACACACACACACACACACACUCAGAGUCUGUUUUUUAGCACCUGCAAAAACAUGCUAUUUACAUAUUUGACAAGAAUGCAGAGGCUCCUUUUGCCCCUGAAAAAAAUCAAAUUUCAAACACAACUUGACUGCUCAUUUCUCCAAAAGACAACCAUGAAGCUCCAUCCAAACCUGAAGCAGGCAGUUGGUGCAUGUGUACAGUAACCUGAGGGGAGUGAGGUGACUGCUUCUGAGGAGAACAUGAGCAGUGAAGAUUCACCUUGGAGCUAGAACAGGGACGUGCACAUGAUUAUACAGGGGCAGGGGCUCAAGUUUUUUCCAGUCAUUUAUACAAUAUGGAAAUUAAUGUGAAAUUAAAAAACAAAGUAUUAAUAGAAAGGUAAUGACUGUCCUGUGUAGAUGACAGUGAUAUCCAAUAGGCUAGGCACUCACGAGGCUGGCUGUGGCAAGUGUAAGUGAAAGCAACACGCACUGGCAGGAAGAACAGCAAACGCCGAUGAAGGAAAAGGGUCUUUGCAGUGAUGGGCGUUACCAGAGAGGGCGAUGGCCAGAGGACACGAAUGGGACGGGGAGGCAGCGCGUUGGGGGGGGGGGCGGCGCGACACGGCUCGGGCCCGCCAGUGCCCCAACGGGGCCCUAGUUAGGGCCCGAGCGUAGCUGCUAAGCAGCUGCGAGAGCCCUCUUGUUCCUGUAGUUUCCUUCUUUUGUUAUUAUUAUUAUUAUUAUUAUUUUUCCUCCCCUUUGAACUGGAAAAUGGCCCACUUCCCACUGGCGAAAACUCAUGAAAUUUGGCAGGACGACCGGGCCUGGUGAAAAAUUUGAUAUUCCGAAGUCGCCCAAACCAGAAAAUUCAAAAUGGCUCCAUAGCGCCCCCUAAGGUGAAAAUUCACACUAUUCACUGUCACGCCUGUACGCUUUGUCAAAAUGACACAAAAAUUGACACACACAUGUAUCUCAAUAAGAUCUACAAAAAAGUCAGUGCGGGCGUAUCUGUCAAAUGUACGGUUAAAGGGUUAUUUCGCAUUUUUUGCCGAUCCGCACACAUUGGAAUUUCGCUAACUCCUCCGAAGGCUUUCGUUCCACCGGCACCACAUUUGCUCAGGCCAAUCUACACCCCAUGGCCAUUAAAAGUUAUUCAAAUCAUGACGCUGCACCCCACGGUUUAGGUUCUAGGGGGCGCCAAAGAUAACCCUAAGAUCCACAUAUUUAAAAGUCUUAUAACUUUUUAUUUUUGCCCUCACUGGCCUCCAAGUUUUCUAGGAUGAUGCAAUGUCCAGCCAUCAACACAUUUGUGAAGGAAUUUUUACUCCCCAAAAGAGCGCCCCCCCAUGGCAGGAGAAAAAAGUCCAUUUUUUCUUGUCCCCUAAGGUGAAAAUACACAUUGUUGAGUGUAACACCUGUACGCUUUGGCAAAAUGACACAAAAAUUGACACACACAUGUAUCUCAAUAAGAUCUACGAAAAAGUCAAUGCGCGCGUAUCUGUCAAAUGUACGGUUAAAGGGUUAUUCCGCAUUUUUUGCCGAUCCGCACACAUUGGAAUUUCGCUAACUCCUCCGAAGGCUUUCGUUCCACCGGCACCACAUUUGCUCAGGCCAAUCUACACCCCAUGGCCAUUAAAAGUUAUUCAAAUCAUGACGCUGCACCCCACGGUUUAGGUUCUAGGGGGAGCCAAAGAUAACCGUAAAAUCCACAUAUUUAAAAGUCUUAUAACUUUUUAUUUUUGUCCCCACUGGCCUCCAAGUUUUCUAGGAUGAUGCAAUGUCCAGCCAUCAACACAUUUGUGAAGGAAUUUUUACUCGGCAAAAGAGCGCCCCCCCAUGGCAGGAGAAAAAAGUCAAUUUUUUCUUGUCCACUAAGGUGAAAAUACACAUUGUUGAGUGCUACGCCUGUAUGUUUUGUCGUAUUGACACAAAAUUUUACAUACACGUGUAUUUCAAUAAGAUCUUCGAAAAAGUCAAUGGCCACGUAUCUGUAAAAUGUACGGUUAAAGGGUUAUUUCGCAUUUUUUGCCGAUCCGCACACAUUGGAAUUUCGCUAACUCCUCCGAAGGCUUUCGUUCCACCGGCACCACAUUUGCUCAGGCCAAUCUACACCCCAUGGCCAUUAAAAGUUAUUCAAAUCAUGACGCUGCACCCCACGGUUUAGGUUCUAGGGGGCGCCAAAGAUAACCCUAAGAUCCACAUAUUUAAAAGUCUUAUAACUUUUUAUUUUUGCCCUCACUGGCCUCCAAGUUUUCUAGGAUGAUGCAAUGUCCAGCCAUCAACACAUUUGUGAAGGAAUUUUUACUCCCCAAAAGAGCGCCCCCCCAUGGCAGGAGAAAAAAGUCCAUUUUUUCUUGUCCCCUAAGGUGAAAAUACACAUUGUUGAGUGUAACACCUGUACGCUUUGGCAAAAUGACACAAAAAUUGACACACACAUGUAUCUCAAUAAGAUCUACGAAAAAGUCAAUGCGCGCGUAUCUGUCAAAUGUACGGUUAAAGGGUUAUUCCGCAUUUUUUGCCGAUCCGCACACAUUGGAAUUUCGCUAACUCCUCCGAAGGCUUUCGUUCCACCGGCACCACAUUUGCUCAGGCCAAUCUACACCCCAUGGCCAUUAAAAGUUAUUCAAAUCAUGACGCUGCACCCCACGGUUUAGGUUCUAGGGGGAGCCAAAGAUAACCGUAAAAUCCACAUAUUUAAAAGUCUUAUAACUUUUUAUUUUUGUCCCCACUGGCCUCCAAGUUUUCUAGGAUGAUGCAAUGUCCAGCCAUCAACACAUUUGUGAAGGAAUUUUUACUCGGCAAAAGAGCGCCCCCCCAUGGCAGGAGAAAAAAGUCAAUUUUUUCUUGUCCACUAAGGUGAAAAUACACAUUGUUGAGUGCUACGCCUGUAUGUUUUGUCGUAUUGACACAAAAUUUUACAUACACGUGUAUUUCAAUAAGAUCUUCGAAAAAGUCAAUGGCCACGUAUCUGUAAAAUGUACGGUUAAAGGGUUAUUUCGCAUUUUUUGCAGAUUCGCACACAUUGGAAUUUCGCUAAUUCCUCCGAAGGCUUUCGUUCCACCGGCACCACAUUUGCUCAGGCCAAUCUACACCCCAUGGCCAUUAAAAGUUAUUCAAAUCAUGACGCUGCACCCCACGGUUUAGGUUCUAGGGGGCGCCAAAUAUAACCCUAAAAUCCACAUAUUUAAAAGUCUUAUAACUUUUUAUUUUUGUCCUCACUGGCCUCCAUGUUUUCUAGGAUGAUGCAAUGUCCAGCCAUCAACACAUUUGUGAAGGAGUUUUUUCUCUUUAAAAGAGCGCCCCCCAUGGCAGGAGAAUAAAGUCAAGUUUUUCCUGUUCAUCAUUCAAUGGCUCAAACGCACUGCUCUCUCGGCAAAAGCGAAAGGAGGAGCAACUUGCCAUUUGGAUAUAUCUUAGCUGUGUUUGUGCCCUCACUCAUGGUCCAGACUUUUUUCAAAUAGGACAUGGAGUUUUUCUGCAGCGAGCGUUUUGGUAGAAACUGCGCCUCCCGUUCAUUAUAAUGGUAAAUGACCACAAACAAGUGCGCACACCAUCUUUGGACCUUGAGUGUGACGCGAUCGGGUGGGGGAGGCGGUCGCGCUGGGGGCGGCGUGACACGGCUCGGGCCCGCCAGUGCCCCAACGGGGCCCUAGUUCUUUCUUUCUUUCUUCUUUUUCCUCCCCUUUGAACUGGAAAAUGGCCCACUUCCCACUGGCGAAAACUCAUGAAAUUUGGCAGGACGAUCGGGCCUGGUGAAAAAUUCGAUAUUCUGAAGUCGCCCAAACAAUAAAAUGCAAAAUGGCUCCAUAGCGCCCCCUAAGGUGGAAAUUCACACUAUUGACUGUCACGCCUGUACGCUUUGUCAUAUUGACACAAAAAUUGACACACAUAUGUAUCUCAAUAAGAUCUACAAAAAAGUCAGUGCGGCCGUAUCUGUCAAAAUUACGGUUAAAGGGUUAUUUUGCAUUUUUUGCCGAUCCGCACACAUUGGAAUUUCGCUUACUCCUCCGAAGGCUUUCGUUCCACCGGCACCACAUUUGCUCAGGCCAAUCUACACCCCGUGGCCAUUAAAAGUUAUCAAAAUCAUGACGCUGCACCCCAAGGUUUAGGUUCUAGGGGGCGCCAAAGAUAACACUAAAAUCCACAUAUUUAAAAGUCUUAUAACUUUUUAUUUUUGUCCUCACUGGCCUCCAAGUUUUCUAGGAUGAUGCAAUGUCCAGCCAUCAACACAUUUGUGAAGGAAUUUUUACUCACCAAAAGAGCGCCCCCCCAUGGCAGGAGAAAAAAGUCCAUUUUUUCUUGUCCCCUAAGGUGAAAAUACACAUCGUUGAGAUUCACGCCUAUACGCUUUGUCAAAAUGACACAAAAAUUGACACACACAUGUAACUCAAUAAGAUCUACGAAAAAGUCAACGCGCGCGUAUCUGUCAAAUGUACGGUUAAAGGGUUAUUCCGCAUUUUUUGCCGAUCCGCACACAUUGGAAUGUGGCUAACUCCUCCUAAGGCUUUCGUUCCACCGGCACCACAUUUGCUCAGGCCAAUCUACACCCCAUGGCCAUUAAAAGUUGUACAAAUCAUGACGCUGCACCCCACGGUUUAGGUUCUAGGGGGCGCCAAAGAUAACCCUAAAAUCCACAUAUUUAAAAGUCUUAUAACUUUUUAUUUUUGUCCUCACUGGCCUCCAAGUUUUCUAGGAUGAUGCAAUGUCCAGCCAUCAACACAUUUGUGAAGGAAUUUUUACUCCCCAAAAGAGCGCCCCCCCAUGGCAGGAGAAAAAAGUCAAUUUUUUCUUGUCCCCUAAGGUGAAAAUACAUAUUGUUGAGAUUCACGCCUAUACGCUUUGUCAUAUUGACACAAAAUUUGACAAUCACGUGCCUUGCCUGGUAUCAUUUUUUUCAGCACAACCUCACCUGUGCGAAUUUACAGUUAUUUUAUCAUGUUGACAUACUGAAUUUACACAAUGGACCCAAAUUCACACACAAAACAUAAAAUCCGAGUGGAAAAAAGUAACAUUUUUACUGUGAAAACCACAAAUAUGUGUGAUGAACUGUUUUUAAAACUUAAACUUCAAAUAAAAAUUGUAAACUUCAAAACAUAUGCAAAUUUUUAACAAAGAACAUAGUGAUUUACCUCUAUUUACAUCAAAAUGCAGGCAAUGGCCCAGGCGUUCUUUGUAAAAUUAUUUACAAAACACUGUAAAGUCUCACAAAUGUCACUUUUUAUUUAUGCCACUACAAAAAAACAUGAUGUAAAUGAUGCAUGAUGUAAAACAUGAUGUAAAAAACUUGUGUAGAUCCUCCUCUAUGUCAGUCCAUGUGUAAUUUUUCCAUAAUUCUUUGUUUUUUGCAGCAUUUUUGUUAGUGUAACUGCAGAUUGUGCUGACAGUGUCUAUGGCACAAAAAAAAAAAAAAAAUUAAAAUGCCUCAACAUGAACCCCUGGUGGUCUCUGAGGGUGAAACCUGCUAACUGCUGCAGCUCUGUGAGGUUCAGUUUCCCAUGCAGAGCUCUGAGCGCAUGUGUGGCUCUGCACCCUUAGCAGCGUUGCUAACUCCUCAGUAAGGAAAGCCUGCUUCAUGUCAGAGUCUCUAAACUCCAGAAGAAGUCGAUAAAAGUCCCUUUCUUUCUAAAAAAAAGUCGUUAGGGGGUCUGAAAAGUCAUUGAAUCUAACAACAAAGUCGCUAGGUUUGCAACUACGUGUCCCAGACUGCAUCCCUGCUGAGAGUCCCUCCCUCCCUUCUCAUGUUGCAGGAAGAACGUAAGCGCCCGCCCCUUGUCAAUCAGUCACCAUAUAAUUUUGGAUUGGUUGUUGUGGUCAAGUUUUCCACCAAUAGGAGAGAUGUUGUGUGUUUUUUUUUUCUUUUGGCAAGCCUUUUCCGCCUGUAAGACCUGUCGCUAAUGUCUGCAUGCUAUGUUUUCCUGUCUCAUACAGCGCGAUCGAGCGCCGAACGUGAUCAAAAUAAGCAGAAAAAAAGUAUCGCGGACAUAAUUUAUCAUAACUCUGGUUUUAUUUGGCCUAUCAACACAAUUUAAAAACUGGUAUAUAGGUUGAGGUCCUCACUUUUGAGAUAAGUUGAAACGGAGAGUCAACGAGGCUCCGUCUUGCAGCUACAUCCGGUUAAAUAUGUCAUGUGACUUGAACGCACACACAGACACACACACACGCACACACACACACACACACACACACACACACACACACACACACACACACACACACACACACACUCAGAGUCUGGUUUUUAGCACCUGCAAAAACAUGCUAUUUACAUAUUUGACAAGAAUGCAGAGGCUCCUUUUGCCCCUGAAAAAAAUCAAAUUUCAAACACAACUUGACUGGUCAUUUCUCCAAAAGACAACCAUGAAGCUCCAUCCAAACCUGAAGCAGGCAGUUGGUGCAUGUGUACAGUAACCUGAGGGGAGUGAGGUGAGUGCUUCUGAGGAGAACAUGAGCAGUGAAGAUUCACCUUGGAGCUAGAACAGAGACAUGCACAUGAUUAUACAGGGGCAGGGGCUCAAGUUUUUUCCAGUCGUUUAUACAAUAUGAAAAUUAAUGUGAAAUUAAAACACAAAGUAUUAAUAGAAAGGUAAUGACUGUCCUGUGUAGGUGACAGUGAUAUCCAAUAGGCUAGGCACUCACGAGGCUGGCUGUGGCAAGUGUAAGUGAAAGCAACACGCACUGGCAGGAAGAACAGCAAACGCCGAUGAAGGAAAAGGGUCUUUGCAGUGAUGGGCGUUACCAGAGAGGGCGAUGGCCAGAGGACACGAAUGGGACGGGGAGGCAGCGCGUUGGGGGGGGGGGGGGUGCGACACGGCUCGGGCCCGCCAGUGCCCCAACGGGGUCCUAGUGUUAUUAUUAGGGCCCGAGCGUAGCUGCUAAGCAGCUGCGAGAGCCCUAUUAUUCCCCAAGUGGUUUUUUAGGGCCCGAGCGUAGCUGCUAAGCAGCUGCGAGAGCCCUAUUAUUCCCCAAGUGGUUUUUCUUUGUUUCUUUCUUUCUUUAGGGCCCGAGCGUAGCUGCUAAGCAGCUGCGAGAGCCCUAUUAUUCCCCAAGUGGUUUUUCUUUGUUUCUUUUUUCUUUUUCCUCCCCUUUGAACUGGAAAAUGGCCCACUUCCCACUGGCGAAAACUCAUGAAAUUUGGCAGGACGACCGGGCCUGGUGAAAAAUUUGAUAUUCCGAAGUCGCCCAAACAAUAAAAUGCAAAAUGGCUCCAUAGCGCCCCCUAAGGUGAAAAUUCACAUGACGGCUGUACGCUUUGUCAUAUUGACACAAAAUUUGACACACACAUGUAUCUCAAUAAGAUCUACAAAAAAGUCAGUGCGGGCGUAUCUGUCAAAUGUACGGUUAAUGGGUUAUUUUGCAUUUUUUGCAGAUCUGCACACAUUGGAAUUUCGCUAACUCCUCCGAAGGCUUUCGUUCCACCGGCACCACAUUUGCUCAGGCCAAUCUACACCCCAUGGCCAUUAAAAGUUAUUCAAAUCAUGACGCUGCACCCCACGGUUUAGGUUCUAGGGGGCGCCAAAAAUAACCCUAAAAUCCACAUAUUUAAAAGUCUUAUAACUUUUUAUUUUUGUCCUCACUGGCCUCCAAGUUUUCUAGGAUGAUGCAAUGUCCAGCCAUCAACACAUUUGUGAAGGAAUUUUUACUCCCCAAAAGAGCGCCCCCCCAUGGCAGGAGAAAAAAGUCCAUUUUUUCUUGUCCCCUAAGGUGAAAAUACAUAUUGUUGAGAUUCACGCCUAUACGCUUUGUCAUAUUGACACAAGAUUUGACAAUCACGUGCCUUGCCUGGUAUCAUUUUUUUCAGCACAACCUCACCUGUGCGAAUUUACAGUUAUUUUAUCAUGUUGACAUACUGAAUUUACACAAUGGACCCAAAUUCACACACAAAACAUAAAAUCCGAGUGGAAA